RNAcentral lists this long non-coding RNA (72823 nucleotides) under Capsicum annuum. Its description in RNAcentral is "long non-coding RNA (CANN_LNC013265)". The record is from RNAcentral. Lineage: Eukaryota; Viridiplantae; Streptophyta; Magnoliopsida; Solanales; Solanaceae.
AUUGAUACGACGAAUACAUUAGCCUGAGCUGUUAGCAUGUGGAGGUAACUAUCAUACCUGGGAGAAAAUGCUGACUCUAUGCAAAAGCCUCCCCCGUGGAUGUAAAAAAGAAGAGGAAAUUUCUGAUUUUUUCGACUGAUUUUGGGCAGGUAAAGUCGUGCUGAUACGUUUUUUUUAGGCAAAAUUGUAACGUCUUUGGAUUGAACUCCUGUUUUGGGAUUGUUUGAUGGAGGGACAAACUUGAUCUCUUGAUACCUAUGAACAGUUCCAUUAGCAUCAACUUUAAAAAAUGGAUACAAAUUGAGGGCUUUUCCUGCAUAGGUUGAAUUCAUACAUAUGCAGAUAGUGAUUAGAAAUAGUAAAGGAGAAUGAGGAUGAGAGGGAAAAUGUGGUGCCAUUAUUGUUGAGUUAUUGUAGGUAGUGAAUAAAUGAAUGGGACUUAAAUUUUAUAGAAGUUUGUGACUCAAAUGAGAGGAGCAACAGCAAGCAUGUGUGUUGGACAUUAAAGCGUGACAGAUUGAGUGCCGACGUGCCGUGAUAGACUCACGAGGUGCUUUCAUUGACCUGCACAAAUUACAAGUUACAUUGUUUAAAAAUCUAUGAUAUCAAUUAGAUUAUGACAUUUUUGUGACUACAUAAAGUAAUUUCCAGGAUAUUCUCUUAUUACCAUUGAUGUCUACGUCCGUCUUAUUGAUACGAAACCUAAAAUUCAAAGUGGUCCUCACAGAAAAAAUUAUUUCUACAUAGUCAUGUCUAAGAAGUUUUUUCCUUCUCUCUUAGACUAUUUUUUCUAUCAUACACAUCAUAUAAUAAAUAGUAUCUCAAUUUUGUUUGCUUCUUUUUUUCCUUUUUCUAUCUUAGACUAUUUGCUUCUUUUUUUCCUUUUUCUAUCUUAGACUAUUCUUUCUUCCCGAUACAUCAUACAUAGUGUCUUUGUUUUUGUCCACUCCCUUAGACUAUUCUUUUUAUCUGACACAUGACUGUGAACUCCAAAUCUGGAGAAAAAAUUGGUAAGCCUUGGGGCAAUAUUUUAUUGCAGCGGUUCUCUUUCAACUACUAAUUAAUCAACGGUUUACGUUAAUUAUUCAACUAGUCUGCUUGAACUCUGAAUGGAAAAGGGAGAAAAAGAGGAAGGAUAAAAAAGUAUGGAAAGGUUUAUAAUCAAGGAGAUUAAAAUCCCUUCAACAGUAUACAAUUCCUAUCACGCCCUUCAUGAAAUAUGAUUGAUGGGGUUGGGAAUAAUUUUUGUUGAAAGUUGCUUUAAGAGUGCAACUAUUUUUUUCUGUUUUCUUCAGUUUUUUUUAAGUACAAUCCUAGUUAAAUUAGGAAGUCCUAUCUUUGAUAAGAAACUAAUUAGUUAUUCUAAUUUAAGUAGAGGUAGAUUGUUUUUUUGUCCUAUUUUUAGUUGGAAUAACAACUAUUUAAGUUGCUAAGUUGAUGAUAAAUUAUAGACUGUCUUUCAACAAGAAAAUAAUUACUCUCUGCAUAUUCUCUUCUUCAAACUCCAUCUCUGUUUCUGCGGCCAGCUUUAAAUUGAAUUCCUGCGUUAUUUCCCUUUAACGGUUUUAAACCAACAAUUGGUAUCAAAGCUUUAAUCUUAAGGGACCUGUGAGUGUGUGCAUCAAUCUGAUCCAGUGGAUACCAUGAACGGAGAAGCAAAUUUUUUUUCAAUGGCACCACCAACUUUCGAUGGAGAAAGUUAUCAAAUUUGGGCAGUUAGAAUGCGGAUAUAUCUGCAAGCUUUGGAUCUCUGGGAAGCUGUUGAAGCUGAAUAUGAGAUAGCUCCCUUGCCGGACAAUCCCACGGUGGCACAGAUUAAAACUCACAAGGAGAAGAAUACUAGGAAAUCAAAGGCAAUGACAUGCUUAUUUAUUGCAGUUUCAUUUAAUAUCUUCACUCGUAUCAUGUCUCUUGAAUCAGCGAAAGAGGUAUGGGAUUAUCUCAAAACUGAGUAUGAAGGAGAUGAAAGGAUUUGAGGGAUACAAGUGUUGAAUCUGGUACGUGAGUUUGAGCUACAAAGGAUAAAAGAAAGUGAAACCAUAAAGGAGUACUCUGACAGACUCCUUAAUUUAGCAAAUCGCAUCAGAUUGUUGGGUUCUACUUUCAAUGAUUCAAGGAUCGUUGAGAAAAUCCUAGUAACGAUACCUGAAAGAUUUGAGGCUACCAUAACAACCUUAGAAAAUACUAAGGACUUGUCCAAGAUAACACUUCCAAAGCUCUUAAGUGCUUUUCAAGCGCAAGAGCAAUGGCGUGUUAUGAGACAAGGAGGAGCUGCCGAAGGUGCCUUACUAGCCAAGCAUCACGAUGAUGGACGUUCUAAGAAGAAGAAGAAUAAGAAGUACCAACCAACUGAUGGAGAAGGUGCAGUGCAAAGCAACAAAAACAAAACAGGUGGUUUCAAAAGAAACUACCUUCCUUGUAAGCAUUGCGGCAAGCUCGGGCAUGCAUCUUUCAAGUGUUGGAAGAGGCCUGAUGCUAAGUGCACUAAGUGCAAUCAGCUUGGGCAUGAAGAGAUUAUCUAUAGAAAUAAAACUCAGCAACAAGAUGCAGAGGCUCGAGUUGUUGAUGAACAAGAAGAGGAUCAACUCUUUGUUGCAUUAUGUUUAGCAAGCAGUGUCUCAAGCGAGUCGUUGCAGAUCGAUAGCGGAUGCAAAAAUCAUAUGACUUACGAUAAAGAUCUUUUUAAAGAUUUGAGCCCUACUAAGGUUACAAAAGUUAGGAUUGGCCAUGGUGGUUAUAUUCCAGCAAAAGGAAUGGGAACCAUCACAAUUGAAACACAAUCGGGCACUAAAACAAUUUUUGAUGUUCUUUACGUACCCGAUUUGGACCAGAACUUGUUAAGUGUUGGUCAGUUAUUAGAAAAAGGUUUCAAAUUGUAUUUCAAAGAUAAACAUUGCUUGAUCAAGGAAACAUCUGGACAAGACCUAUUUAAAGUCCAAAUGAGAGGCAGAAGUUUCUCAUUAAAUCCAUUGGAAGAAGAGCGUGGAUUUCACCAAUCGCGUGUGGAGCUACCUCUGCUAAAAGAAGACAUUCCACCUGAUGAUGAAGGCUGGCUUUGUCCUGGUUGCGAUUGCAAGUUGACUGCAUUGACUUGCUUAAUAAUCUUCAAGGAAAAGACCUUUCCGUCGCUGACAGCUGGGAGAAAGUAUAUCCAAGGACGCUGCUGCUACGUUUGGGGAAAAGCUAGAUGAUAUCUCUGGACUUCCAUCGGAUGACUCGGAGAAUGGCCUGCCUGACAUACCUUGUCCGAAUAAAGUUUUUACUAAGCAUUUAGGUGAAGAAAUUUCUUCGCCUGAGAAUGAUUUGGUGUUGUCGGGAAAUAAUUCUGGUCUUGCUGAGGGAGGGGGAUUAUGCUCUCUUAAUGGAUUCCAGAAUAUGACUCAUUUGGAAUAUGAUUCUGAGUGUAAGCUUUACUUGGAAAGCAAUAUUUCAGUUUAGAGGAAAGAGAUGUCUGAAACUACUAAUGCUGAUAAAUUAUCAGAACUGGAACUUGAGAAUGCUUGUGAUGAGCAGUGUGAGAAUGCUACUUAGUCAGAUGAGCUGCCUUUGCCGAGCAAUUCCCAGUUAGCCCAGGCUGAAUCCUGCCAGAUUUUUGGCAAUAAUUCAGUGGGGGGUUCGACUCUCACAUAGUUUGGAAAUCCUUGUUGCAGAACAUCAGCUGCAUUGCAAGAAAUCCAAAAGACAACAGGUAGUUCAUCAACCAAGGAGAAACUCAAAGUUGGAGGUAUGAGCACCUCUGAAUCUCGUUCAAGUGGUAAAAUAAAGGCAUAUGGAGAAGUCACCACCAAGAGACUUUGCGAAUACUUCAAGGAAAAUAAUUAUCCUGACUGUGACGUAAAGGAGAAGUUCGAGCAAGGUGGUGGUUGGAUAUAAGCAUUACCUGAAGAAGCUGAGAAUAAGAGGAUGCAUCUGAUGACUAUAGUAGAGCUAGUACAGCCUAAAUGGUAUGAGAGGUUGUUAGUUAUUUCCGUGCAGAGAUCGUUUUUCAAUUUUUACUUUGUGCUUUACUUGCUGUUCCCCAAGCUUGCACACAGAGUUGUUGGUCAUCUGGAAGAGGAGGCUAUACACUCAUAUACUUUGUAUCUUAAUGAUAUUGAUCGUGGUGAAAUUGAAAAUAUCCCUACUCCUACGAUAGCAAUUGACUACUGGAGACUGCCUAAGGAUGCGACUCUAAAGGAUGUUGAUAAAGCUUAUCAUAGAGACGUUAACCAUUUCUCAUCUCCAUGGGAGACAUAUCAGGCUAACUUGUCGAUUGAUCUAAGCAAGCACCAUGUGCCUAAGAAAUUCCUUGAUAAGGUUGCUUAUUGGUCAGUGAAACUUCUCAGGAUUCCAACCGAUUUAUUUUUCAAGGAAAGAUACGGUUGUUGUGCAAUGAUGUUGGAAACAGUGGCAGGUGUACCAGGAAUGGUGGGAGGUAUGCUGUUACAUCUGAGGUCGUCACGCAAGUUCGAGCUUCUAAGGCAAAGAAUUGGUGUUUGCAUUUCAUAAAGCAAGGAGGAGUGUUGAAAUUUACUUUAAGAAUGCAACUAUUUUUUUCUGUUUUCUCCAGUUUUUUUAAGUACAAUCCUAGUUAAAUUAGGAAGUCCUAUCUUUGGUAGGAAACUAAUUAGUUAUUCUAAUUUUAGUAGAGGUAGGUUGUUUCUUUGUCCUAUUUUUAGUUGGAAUAUCAACUAUUUAAGUUGCUAAGUUGAUGAUCAAUUAUAGACUGUCUUUCAACAAGAAAAUAAUUACUCUCUGCAUAUUCUCUUCUUUAAACUCCAUCUCUGUUUCUGCGGCCAGCUUUAAAUUGAAUUCCUACGUUAUUUCCCUUUAAUGGUUUUAAACCAACAAUUUUCCCUCUAAUCCCAAGUUAAUAUAUUUUUGAGUAUUGUCAAUAAUCAAGAUCUACAUUGUCAAGCUUACGAAGAUAAAACAUUCAAUAUCAUAUAAGAUUGCAAACAUGUGCGUGGAGCCUGGAAGUAAAUGAAGUUAUUAGUUAUAUACUAGAGGGAAGCAACUUAUGAAAGAUAUUGAGAAAUUUAUAUAAUUUUUGCAAUGUAACCAAAAUAUUUAAAUAUUUGAAGAAUCUAUGUCUAAAUUCAGUGUCUUGACCUUUAUACUCCAAACUCCACAAAUAUUGGAACAGAUGGAGUAAUUAACAUGAUAAUCUUGAUAUUUGUGUUGGUUGUGCUUCCUUUGCGUUGAUUCUAGAAUUCCAAUAUGUAUCAUGGAGGAUUCCACCAGUAUAUAUGUGCAUCUAAUGAAGUUUUUUUGUCACACAAAGGGGAGGAAGAACAGGAAAACAACAAGCUGAAACAACAACAAAAUGGAGCUGUAAAUUGCUGUCAGAAAAUAAACUAUAGAGAAGAAGAACUGAAACUUGUUUUAAUACUCUUAUUUUUCUCUUAAUUGAACAUUACAUAGACUACACACAUAUAUAUAGUGUGUGUGUGACGAUUACAAAUCACAAAACAAGCAAAAAUAUCUACUUACUAGGAAUUUCUAGACAAAUCCGAAAAUAUCUUCUGACUAGGAGUUUCUAGACAAAUUCGAAAAUAUCUUCUAACUAGGAGUUUCUAGAAAAAUCUGAAAAUAUCUACUAACUAGGAGUUUCUAGACAAAUCCGAAAAUAUCUACUAACUAGGAGUUUCAGACAAAUCUUAAUUUCCUAACACUCCUCCUCAAGAUUUUUCAUUGAAACUCCCUGCAACGUCCUUUUGAACUCAAAUUUGUUGGUGGGAAGAGCCUUGGUUAGAAUAUCGUCUUGUUGUUCUUCACUUCUGCAAUGCACCAAAUUAACUUCGCCAUUCUUCUCCGCAUCUCGCAAAGCAUGAAAUCUGAUGUUGAUAUGCUUCGUCCUUCCAUGUCACACUGGAUUUUCAGCCAUAGUAAUGGCUGAUUUUUUGUCCACAUAGAUCACUGUUGGUUCUUCUGGCAAAAGAUCCAAUUCAAACAAGAUUUUCCUCAACCAAAUUCCUAGAUUUAUAGCAGAUGCAGCAGCCACAUACUCGGCUUCAGCUAAAGAUUGAGCUACGAUAUCCUGCUUCUUUGUGCUCCAAGAAAAAAUGCCUGAACCAAAUGAAAAAGAGUAACCAUAUGUGCUUUUGUAAUUGUCCAAACAUCCACCCCAAUCACUAUCUGAAUAGCCAAUAAGAGCUCUAUUCUCCACACUUUUGUACCAAAUGCCAUAAUCAGUUGUCCCUGUAAUAUACCUUAACACCCUUUUAGCAGCUCCAAAAUGCUUGGUGCUAGGACAUUGCAUAUAUUGGGACAGUAGACUAGCAGCAAACAUCAUAUCUGGCCUGGUAGAAAUCAUAUAUAAGAAGCUUCCAAUAAGACUCCUAUAAAGUUUUGAAUCUGCAUGCUUUUCUUCAUCAUCCUUCAUUAACUUUUCAUUCACGACAAGUGGAUUUGCAAUAGGUUUGCACUUAUCAAGUUUGAAUCUUUUUAAGAGAUUCAAGGCAUACCUCUUUUAGGACAAGAAAAUUCCUUCAGAAGAUUGAAAAAUCUCCAUUCCCAAGAAGAGCUUCAUCUAUCCUAGAUCAGACAUUUCAAAAAAUUUUAGCAUUGCAUUUUUAAUUUCUUGAAUCGUAAGAGAAUCUUCACCUAUGAUCAUCAAAUCAUCAACAUAAAUGGAUAUCACAAUCAACAUCCUAUCAGCUUGCCUUUUGAAGUAUAAAGUAGGCUCAUUUAGGCUUCUGUUGAAGCCUUGAGGCAACAAAUAAGUAUCCAGCCUACUAUACCAAGCUCUCAGAGCUUGUUUAAGGCCAUAGAGAACCUUUUUAAGCUUGUACACCUUGUCUUCUUCACCUGCAACAAUAAAACCUUUGGGUUGUUCAACAUAAAUAUCUUCUUCAAGAAAUCGAUUUAGAAAUGCAGAUUUGACAUCUAAAUGGUAGAUUUUCCACUUGUAUUGUGCUGCAAGAGCGACUAGAAAUCUUACUGUCUCAUGCCUCGCGAUAGGAGCAAACGUAUCUCCAAAGUCAACUCCAGGCUGCUGGGAAUAGCCUUUAACUACAAGUCUGGCUUUAUGUUUGAAGAUGGAGCCAUCUGGAUUGAACUUCGUUCUAUAGACCCAUUUGACACGGAUGACGUUCUUUUGGUCAGGCCUAUCAACCAGCUCCCAAGUGUCAUUUUUAUUAAUCAUGGCAAGCUCCUCCUCUAUUACAGAAAUCCAAGCUUUAUGGCUUGCUUCUUCUUCAAAAAAAGUGGUUCUACCAGAGUAAAAUUGCAUUACUCAUAAACUUCAGCUAUUGACCUGGUCUUCAAAACUGGAGAAUCUAAAGUUAAUUCAACAUUUGAAUUGUUCUCUUUUCCAAUAAUAGGACUGGAAGAAAUAUUACUCGUCUGCGGAUUUAGAGAUACAAUUGAAGUACUCUCUUCUUUGUUCUUUAUAACAAUAUCUCGAUCCCAAUCAUAGUAGCUAGACUCGUCCGCCACAAGAUCUCUAUUGAUAAGCACCUUCUUUGUACUAAUAUUAUACACUUUAUACCCUUUUGCAAUUGUGCUAUAGCCCAACAAAAUACAGAGUUCUGCCUUGUUUUCCAAUUUGCCUCUUUUAGCAUCUGGUACAUGGGCAUAGCACACCGAACCAAAUACUUUCAAGUGUCUCGCAGACGACUUUAUACCCCUUCAUACUUCAAAUGGUGUCAUGUCUUGGAGUGCUCUAGUUGGUAACCUGUUCAGCAAAUAGACUGCGGUAUUGACUGCCUCAACCCAAAAAUAUUUAGGCAUCUUCUUUUCUGCCAACAUGCAUCUCGCCAUCUCCAUCACUGUUAUGUUCUUCCUAUCGAAAACCUUGUUUUGUUCUGGAGUGUAGCUAACAGUGAAUUGUUAUUGAAUACCCAAUUCUUUACAAUACUUGCUGAACUGAUGUGAAGUAUAUUCAGUUCCAUUAUCUGACCUGAUAUACUUCAACCGACAUCUACUCUUCCUUUCGACCAUAGCCUUGAAUUCUUUGAAAACAGAAAACUACUUAAAAAAUAGACCCAUAACAUUCGAGUUAGAUCAUCUAUGAAGAGAAUAAAAUAUUUAUUCUCACUCAAAGAAGAUGUCCUCAUUGGUCCACAUAUAUCUGUAUAAACCAACUCUAGCUUUUCCUUUGCCCUCCAAAGACUUCCUUUAGGAAAGGAUCGUCUAUGCAAUUUACCAAAUCGACAUGACGUACAAACAUCUCAGCACAUGUCAAUUUUGGGUACAUCAAGCACCAUACCUUUGGAUUGUAUAUAAAUUAAUAAACUAAGGUUGUAAUGACCGAAUCUUUUGUGCCAAAGCCAGGCAUCACUCAUUUCAACAUUGAAAGAGCAACUUUCAGCAGAUAGCAUGAAAUUGGAAAGGAAUUACCAAUCAUGCUAAUUUUAGCUACUUCACAACCUUUAGGAUCAUAAUUGACACAUUUGUUAUCCUUAAAAGUAAGUGAAUAACUAUUGUGAAGCAACUGAGCAAUACUCAACAAGUUUUGAGUCAAUCUUGGUACAUAGAGAACAUCGUUUGUGAUUUUCAUACCUUCGUCCGUAAGGAAUUUUAUUGAUCCUCUUCCUUGAGCUUGUACCAGUGUGCCAUCUCCGAGCUUCACUUUGGUCCUAUCAGACCUAUCCAAGCUAACAAAUAUAUUUCUAUCAAUCGCUAUGUGCCUUGUGAAUGCACUAUUGACGUACCAAUUAUAUUGAUCAACAUGUGAUGUGUGCGAAGCCAUGAAUACCUCCUCUGAUUUUUGAACUUGGUGAUCUUUUGCAAAAUUUACUCGUUGGGAAGACUGACCACUUUGAGCUUGCUUUUGCCUGCAAUACUACUCAAUGUAUCCAUACUUCUUACAAUAUCUACAUUGAAUAGGGGACCUCUUGAACUUCUGCCAACAAUUCCUCUCCAAGUGGUCUAUCUUCUUACAAACACCACAAUGUGGAAAUUUUUCUUUCUUCGAUGAUUCACCUUGGUAUCCACCAAAUUUCGCCUCUCCAAAGUGGUCUAAAGAGAAUUUUUUGCCUUCCUUUUGUUGCUUGAAUUUAUGCCUUACUUGAAAGGCAUCUUCGACUGUCCCUUCACUUUUCAUGGUCACCCGUUACUCUUGAAUUUGCAAUUUCGAGAUCAGCUCAGCUAUAGAAAGAGUAGUCAAGUCACAAGACUCUUCAAUAGCUGAGAUUUUUGAUUUGAACUUGUCCAGAAGGCUGACCAUAAUAUUCUCUACAACUUUCUGAUCUGAAAAGUUUUCACCAAGUAUCCAUAUUUGGUUCACAAUAUCCAUCAUCUUGGAAGAGUAUUCCUUCACAGUAUCUGAAUCCUUCAUCUUCAAGAGCUCAAACUCCCUCUUCAAAGCUAAGACCUUAACAGACUUAACUCUGUUACUGCCUUCAAACUUCUCGUUUAGCUUAUCCCACGUUUCCUUGGCUGUCUCACAAGCCAUAAUCCUUGUAAAUAUCACUCCGUAAGACUUGAAUGUAUGGAAGUGAGAGCUCUUGGAGAUCUAGUCACCAACUUAGCAUAAUUUUUGAUUUCAUUGAGUUGCGUUGUCUCUCAAUGCCUGGACAACAACUUCUCCUCUCUCAACGACAUCCCACAAGUUGAGAGCCUUCAAAUAAGCCUGUAUUUUAAUGGCCCAAAUAUGGUAAUUCACCCCCGAGAAAAUAAGAGGACCCGUUGUUGGUUGAUUUUUUGGUGCCAUGUUUACAACAAAUAGAUCCAAGAAAAGGAGUUAAAAAUAAGAUGAGCCAAUCAACGAAAAUAGAUUCAUAUCCCGUAAUAAAUGGGCUCUGAUACCAUGUCACAUGAAGGGGAGGAAGAACAGGAAAACAACAAGCUGAAACAACAACAAAUAGAGUUUUAAAUUGCUGCCAGAAAACAAACAAUAGAGAAGAAGAACUGAAACUUGUUUUAAUACUCUUAUUUCUCUUAAUUGAACAUUACAUAGACUACACACACGCACACAUAUAUAUAUAUAGUGUGUGUGUGAGGAUUACAAACCACAAAACAAGCAAAAAUAUACUUACUAGGAGUUUCUAGACAAAUCUGAAAAUAUCUUCUAACUAGGAGUUUCUAGACAAAUUCAAAAAUAUCUUCUAACUAGGAGUUUCUAGACAAAUCCAAAAAUAUCUACUAACUAAGAGUUUCUCGACAAAUCCGAAAAUAUCUACUAACUAGGAGUUUCAGACAAAUCUUAAUUUCCUAACAGUUUUGCUUGCGUUAUUGGUUUUUAAGUAUGUAAUUGUUUUGAGGCCUUAUGGAUGUGUCCUGGAAGACGUGUGAUCUGGUGGAUGCCAUAUUCUGUCUGCUUGGCUGUAUAAUCUGUUCAUGUUUGAACAUAUAGCACAAAUAGGAUAACCAUCACAACCUAUGCCAUAUAGAAUAAUGAACCUGUUCUUGUCGUCAAAUCUAGGUUGUUGCAUUACGCUUAUAUGUUCAUAUGCAUAUCAACAACAUACCCAGUAUAUUCCCACCAAGUGGGGGCUCAUAUGCAUAUCAUGAUGCUAGUUUUUAAUCAUAAAAUUAUUUGUUUUUAUUAUGUGUAGACACGUAAUUUUAUCCCGUCAAAAAUAAUUCUUACUCCGUUAUCACGCACUUUAACCUCGUCUUAUAAUUUUCUUCAAGAAAAAUAAAAUAAAAUAACCAUUUUAUUUAUUUAUUUAUCUUUGUCUUUAUCCAAAUAACAAAUCUCAACCAAUUUUGUCUUCUUUUUAAAACCUCCCAACAACCCCUCCAAUUAAAAAACAACACCUCACCUCUCACCUAACGACCCCAUACCCCUACCCAUACACCUACCCACGUGACCCCCCCUUAGAUUUCUUGUCCACAAAGAAAAAAAGGUACCCUCUAGGAAAGACACCAAGGACCCACUCCAUUUUUUUAAUCUUUUGAAAACAUAAGAUUCUUUUUUGGCCCAUUGGUAGGGAUUGACAAUUUUAAAAAAAGAGAUAGAAUUUCCAUUUCUUGGGGGAUAGGGACAGCAAUACAGAGGGAUAGAAAGGAGUCCAUCAUCAUCAUUCUUUAACCCCAAAAAGAGCCCUUUUUGACGAAAAAAGAAAAACACCAUUUUGGAAGGAAGAUUCGGCUCUCAUUUUCUUCUCCAUCAUACACGCACAUAUCUCUCACCGUCCUUCACUGGACACACACAUAUGCACACUGGAUAUCUGCGAGAGACAAAUAUUGAGAGUGAAAAGCAAAGGAGAUUGAUCGAAAAACGAGGUAAACGGUAAGUUGCGAAGGUCGUCGGAGCUUCGGCAAUGCGAAAACACUGGUUUCAAGCUCCGUAAUAAUCAAAUCCUUCAGAAACGUCACCAACGUCUGUCAGUGACCAGCUCAAGUGAGAUAAAAAAUGGUAACCCAUCUCCGAUUCUGGUCGAAAUCCAUAGAAAAUUAUCAAAAAUAGACCGGCGUCAUGGAGCUUUAGGUUCACUAUCGAGUCUGGGUUCGAACUAAAUUUUCGAUUACGGCUUUUGAUAUCGAGUUGGUCGAGUUAGUGUUGGGGUUCUGCUCGUUGUUUGAGGUUUCAAGUUGCGGAUUCGGAAUAUAAAUUUUUUCUGUUCAUUCAAAUUAUAUUUGAAUUCGAAAGCGUCAUUUGAGGUCCAAUUCUCUUCUCUCCCCCUUUAUUUUAAUUUUGAUGUGAUUAUGGAUGUGAUUCGAUGUCUUUGUGCUAUUUGUUGGUUGAUUUAUGUGCUGUUUGAUGUUGUUUUCUUUUGAGUAAUUGAUAUCAGUGGUAUAAAAGUGAUGAUAAUGUGAAUUUGGGUUUGUAUCGAGAAGGAAUUUGGGGGCGUGAGAAUUGUAAAUCGAAAAGAGUAAAUAUUAUAAUAUUUUGAUUCAUUGUUGAUAUUGAAUGUUGAUAGUAUCAUGACAGGUUGAAUUGGAUAGGCAAAAGAUGUUUAGGUUCGAGUAGGCAAAUUUAGGAAUGAUGUUUAAUUGAAGGCGUGGAAUGUUGGAUGUGUUGGUUUAUGUUUUCAGAUUGAAAUGUAUUCAUUUGGCCGAGGAAUGCCCCGAAGAUUGAUGUAUUUAUUCACUGGGGAAUUCCCCGAUGUAUCAUGUUGGCGAAUGCAGAUCGUGAUCAAGGCCCGAGGCAUCGGGUAAAAUCUGAGAGCAUAGUUAGGAUUAGUAUAGGCUAGAAUAGGUUUAUAUUUUCUCAUUUUUCAUUUUUUAGGACUGUAUAAUUGGAUUGGACACUAAAUUUUGGAUUGUUUCGUCUUGUUUGUUUGAUUGGUUGUUUUGCUUGUUUUGUAUGGUUUAUACAUUCGUAGUGCCAAAAUAGUCGAUACACUCUACCAAGUGACUGUGGUUAAACCACGGGAUCGAGGGGUGCCUAACACCUUCUCCUCGGUUAAAAAAAUUCCUUAACCAGAAUCUCUAUUCGCAAACCAGUUUAAAGAGUCAAAUCAUUUUGAAAAGGAUUUUCCUAAGAUGACUUGGCACAUCGAUUAUGCCAAGUGGAGACUCUGAAUUUUGAAUAUAAAAAGGCCCUUUUCAAAAUAAAUUUUCAUCUUUUGUCACUUUAAUAAUAAAACCCUUUUGAUCCUUAAAAUCAAUCUAAUCUUUUGGAGUUAAAAAAAAGAGGGUGUCACAGCUCUUGCGACUCUGCUGGGGAUCAUUUCAGAAUUCGAGCUUUUUUUUUAGUUGUAUCGGCUUAGUUUGGCAUUAUGGGUGUAUAGACAUUGUUUGUGUUGUUUUGUGUUAUUUCUUUUUUCAUUGUUGAGUUCCUGUGUGCUCUUUGUUUACAGUUUUUAUCUUAUGUGUUACCGUUUUAUAUCUGACAUCAUGUGCAUAACCCGAGUCAUUUUUUUUUCAACAAGUUCGUUGUGCAUGCUGUGUACACGACCUCUAGUUGAGUCACCCUUAUCUUAGGAGGGAGAGCCGUUGGCUAGUAUGGAGUGUGUGGAAAGCUAAAGCAGCCACUAUCGACCAUACGCUCCCCUGAAUAGCGUUGUUAGUGAACCCCAGCAUAGGUCUGCCUUUAGGUCAUGCUUAUUUGUAUCAUAUUGAGACCUAGCGGGUCCCACUUGGUCCUUUGUAGGAAACUCACCUCUGAGGCAUCCCUACAUAAGAAAUAUUGCAUCUUUGAGGGUAACGAGGUCAUUUGACGGACUGAUUUGGGGAAAAACAUGUGUUAGAAAUAAAGUGUGUAAGCAAUGAAAAAAAAAGUGAGUCGAAAAAAAAAGGAGUUUCGUAGUUUUUAGAGUUCUUUAUGGCUUUUGUUUUCCACAAUCCAAAAAUUCAAAAAAAAAAUCUUUUACCUUUCGCACUCAUUUUCUUGAAAAUACCAAAAAGAUUUUUUUUAUUUUUAGUUGUUGAUGUCAAUGUUAUGUGAAGUGUCUAAUUAAACCCCCCUCCCCCCUCCCUAAAAAAAAGAUUUUAUUUCUCAUCGUCUGUCUGUAAUCGCGUCUCUCGAGUUAAGUCGUAGUUUGUUUUAAUCCUUAAUUGUCCAAGCUGGACGAACUACACAUACCUUAUUCCCAUCUCUCGGGACGGGAUACGUAGGUAACCCUUUGUGGGUCCGAUAAUCUUUAUUUUAGCCUUUGUCUGAGCCUUAGCUUAGGUCUUUCUCCUCUUAAUUUAGUGCUGUUAGUAGGUUUUAGCCAAGUAGGCUGAUUUUAUUCAGUGAUACUGUUCGGCGAAUUGGAGUCAUAAAGCGGUCUGUCCCUUCAACAUAUGUCUGCAUCAAAGUCCCAAGGGUUCGGAAUCUUUUGUUCCUGUCGAAUUUUGAGAUAAUGUCUUAAGUUUAUUACAGGAUGGAUUUGUCCACAAAGUCUAGAGUCCGGAUGGUUGGCAAGGUGCCCAAAAAGUUAAUCAAAUGGUGGGGCAUGUUUAACUAUGUCGAACAACGGGAGUUAGAGAAGAAGCUCGACACUCUCAUUUCUCUUUUGUCUAUCACACCCCGCCCAAACCUAAUCAAGGCUGCAUUGACUUUUUGGGAUCCGACUUGUCUAGUUUUUAGGUUUGGAAGUUGUGAAAUGACGCCUACCCUGGAGGAAAUACCCGGUUUAUUUGGAUUGCCCUACAUUAAGAAGACGAUGAUUCGGGCGCGAUGUCAUUCUCCCAAUAGGUUUCUCCACUGUUAUGGAUUGAAAGUUAAUAACCAACUAGGGUGACUUAACCAAUCUUGGAUCUCUUUCGAUUACUUGUAUGCUCGAUUUGGCCUUCCAGACAGUUUCGAUUAUUUUUGGGAUGAAUUUUAUACAACUAAAAAGAAUUGGGAGAAACGUCGCCUUGAGGUCUUCACCUUUGUUUUGUUAGGAACUUUGGUAUCCUCUUUGGAAGAUAGGCGUCUUAAUACUCAUUUGCAAAUUGUAGCGAUGGCCUUAUUUAACAAAGAUAAGGGAGAUGAGGUUACUAUCGUACCCAUGAUCUUAGUAGAGAUAUACAAAGCUUUGACCGAUGUAAAAAAGGGUAUGCGAUUUUUUAAGGGGAGCAACCUAGUACUACAACUAUGGAUGAUGGAGCAUUUGCACACCCCUUAUUUUCUUAAGUUAGACAUAAUCGACCGUUGUUUGCCCAGUCGAGUGGAAACCAUAGAAGAUAGAAUGCGCUUUGCUAAAUUUUAUUGCCCGUAGGAGUCAAUGCUUGGAUCGAGUUUCUUGAAUCAAGAACAGAUGACAAUAUCCUAGGGACCUAUCUAUGGCUCCGGCCGAAAGUAAUCUUGGUUGGAUCUAACAUACACCCCGUUCUAGUUUUAUUGGGGCUUAAUUGUACCCGACCAUAUACUCCUCUUAGGGUAAUGCGUCAAUUGGGUAGAGUACAAGAUGUUCCACCAAUAUUGGACUUUCAACAGGAUGUGGAGUACUUUAGGGACCAAGCUAGGGGUGAGAUCAAGUAUGAGCAAUUCUGGAGUAAUGCAACCUGGCAGGGCAUGGAUACUCUCAGGACAAGUUUAGAUAAUCUCGGAUAUACUCAAGGAUAUAGAAUCUAGUUAUAAUCUAUUCCUCGGGGUGUCAGCAUACCAUUACCAGUGUAGCUUAGAGGGAGGAUACAAUAUGAAUGCAUAGUUGGUGUCUGUCAGGAUGAAGGGGCGGGGGCCAAAGUAGAGACACUGAGAGUUCAGUUAUUAGGUUUGCUCAAAACUAUGGAGGGGUGUCAGAACAGUCUUUUCAAGUGUACUCCUCAUGAGGCAGGAAUACGUGCCAGCGGCAUCUUCCCAAAUAUUGAAGGGUCCUUACAAGAUAUGCUACAUAGUUUGAAUGGGAGAAAGAGAACUUCACAGGCAGGUUCAUCUCAGCUAGGGUCAUCAUGCAGGGCACCAGUUUGAAGGAGCAUUUCCUAUCUUUUAUUUAGUUUGAGUCCUUUACUUUUUUGCCAUUUAUAGUAUUGUGUCUUUGUUAAGUCGGUAUCAAGUUUGCUUUGACUUUGGAGUCUUUAUUAGGAGCAUUAUGUGUGUUGUCAUGCUACGUCUAGAAUGUCAUUCAGUCUUUGUUGAUUAGUAUCGAGGUUGUCUUAAUUUCGUUGUAUGUUUUUGUUGUUUCUUUCAUCAAAAUGUUAUGAUGUUACGUCUUUCUUUUUUUGUUUGUUUUUGUUUUUCGUGAAAAAAAUAACCUUUAAUUAUGUGAUGUUUAUGCAUAUGCAUCCCGAACUACGCAAGAUCUAAUUCAUGCACAACAUGAUACGUAGGCAACCUGCUUUUGGGUUCGAUCUAAUCAUUUUGUUUCGUUGUUUUUCAUCAUUUUUCCCUCUUUUAAAGAAAAGCAAAAGUUAUAAAGAAUGAUAAAACGAAGGUAGAUAGUGAGAGAAGAAAAGAAAGUAAGGAUGAUGAGAAAGUAAAGAAAGGGAAGUGAGGGCAAAAGAGGUGUGUUUGGAAGAAAGAAGAAAAAGAGUGUAGAUGAAAAUCGGGAUGAUGCUAAAAUGACCUCGCUACCCUCAAAGGCUGGUAGAAAUGAAAAUGAAUCUAGGAAAAUUUUACCAAUAUGAUUCCCAUGUUUGUUGUAUGGACUAAUCCUAACGGAUGUUGUCUUUGAUGAGUAUGUUCUUUCAGAUAACAGUGGUUGGUUUGCAGCACUCUGGCUAAUCACCCGUACUUUACUAGAUCAAAAGCAAAGCUCACCAUGGCUAGUAGGGAGAUUGAAAAUUCGCUCAUUGACCCGAAUCAGGAUCCCUGGGAAGAAAGUUCAGAACACAAUGAUGAGGUAGUAAGGCUCAGACAACAAUUGAUAGAUUUGCAUCGAGCAUGGACUAGUGGCAUGCCUCCUCCUCUACUCCUUGAAGGUCUUGGGAAUAUCUCUAAUUGCCCACCGCUCUCUCAGGCGCAAUUCUCUACUCCUACUGAAUCACCUGAGCACGUACCAGGAUUUACUCCGCGACAUUAUUAUCCUAGAACUUCUAGUGUGCCCUUGGCAGCUCCCCAACUAAGACCCGCUGCUCAGCUGGCGCCACUGAUCACACCGGUGUUUGUGGCUCCGCCAUUACCUGAAGCUCCCACAUAUGCUAUGCGUCUGACAAUGGGGCUUCUUCGAUCUGUCAGUGAGCCGGUAUUGAAGGUUCUAGAUAGUCAAUAUUAUGCCCCAGAGCCUACUUUGAGAAUGAAUGAACUGUAUGGGUACACUCAGCCACCUGCAUUUCCAUUUGAUACAGAGAAACCUGUCUCAAUAGAGGAACAGGAUGUCAUAGUGUGGAAAUUGAAAAGUUUGGAGCAAGCCAUGAGGAAUUUACAGGGAAUUAGAGGUUAUAAGAGUGUUUCCUAUAAAGAUCUUUGCAUGUUCCCAGACGUCAACCUUUCCCUCAGUUUUAAAAUGCCCAAGUUCGAGAAGUAUGUUGGGCACGAUGACCCCGUGGCACACUUGAGACGUUAUUGCAACCAAUUGAGGGCUGCAGGGGGAAGGAAAAAGUUGCUCAUGGCUUUCUUUGGUGAGAGUCUUUCUGAUCUGGCUUAUGAAUAGUUUUUCGAUCAUGAUAUCGACAAGUGAAACAGUUGGGAUGACUUAGCUUCUGAGUUUGUGCAAUAUUUUUAGUAUAAUGUCGACCUGAUUCCGAAUGAAAAAUCCUUGGUCAACAUGAAGAAUAAAAGCACUGAAAACUUUAAGGAAUAUGCGAUAAGGUGACGUGAACAGGACACUAGGGUAAAGCCUCUAAUGAAGGAGAGUAAGCUGGUAGAGGUCUUCAUUCAGGUACAAGAUGAGACCUAUUUUCAAUAUUUACUUUAGGCAAUGGAAAAGUCUUUUAUUGAAGUCCUCAAAAUGGGGGAGAUGAUAGAGGACAGAAUCAAGACCGGCCGAAUAAUGAGUUUUACCGCGUUGAAAGCCACCACACAAGCGAUUCAAGGUGGAUCUGGAACGUUUGGAGGUAAAAAAAAGAAAAAGGAUGUGGUGACCAUUAUUGCUGGACCCUAUUCCUAUCCCAAAAGACCGCCUCGCCCCUAUCCCCAAUCCCAAGUCCAAGCCUAUGUCCAAGCUCCGUAUAUUUCUCCCCACCAUUACUACCCUCCGCAAAACCCACCAUAUGUCAUUCUACCCUCUCCUUAGCCAGUGUAUAACGCACAACCAUAUGCCCAAACUCCUUCUUACCUGUAAUGGCAUGCACAAGCUCCACAAAAUCGUCAUCAACUCCACCAAAUUACCAAAACCCCUCCAGACCCGAUUUCCAAUCCAGGCCCGAGUACAAGAAAGAGAAUGCGGUAAAAAAUUAGUUCACACCUCUUGGGGAGUCAUAUGCUAGCUUGUUUGAUAGGUUAAGAAAGAUGAAGGUCUUAAGCCCAAUUCAAGGAAGGCUUACAAAUCCACCUCUGAGGAAUCUCGAUUAUUCUUUAAGGUGUGCGUACUAUUCUGACAUAACAGGCCACGAUAUCAAGAAAUAUUGGCAUUUAAAGAGAGCUGUCCAAGAUUUAAUUGACACAAAUUAGAUGCUGGUCUAGGCCCCAGAGGUUCCGAACAUUAACCAGAAUCCGCUGCCAACCCAUGCUGAAACCAAUAUAUUAGAAUUGAUAUAUNNNNNNNNNNNNNNNNNNNNNNNNNNNNUUAAAAGCCUAUUGUCAAGAUACAGACCAGUGAGGCAAAAUCGGUGAAUGUAGCAGAGUCUUUGAAAGCAAUGUCAUUGAGCCAGGAAGGAAUGGGAAAAGACAAAUCCCAAUAAAGCAUAAAGAAACCCCUGAUCACAGUGCAAGGUACUAGAAGGUAUGUUUAUUUAAGUCAGGAUAAACCUAAGUUAACGGUGGUAGGAGCUCCGAGUAAGCCCAUCUUGACGGUGAAAGGAGCACUGGCAGCGCCUAUUGUCCUCAAACUGGUGAACCAACCUUCGAUAGUUGAUACGAAAAAAGUUCCCUGGAACUAUGGGCGAAUUGUGAUGACCUAUUAGGGGAAGGAAGUAGUGGAAGAUGUAGAUGAGGUAGGGGGUUUGACUCGGUCAGGAAGAUGCUUCGUGCCUGAAAGUUUAAGAAAGUCCAAGCCAAUUGUGAGUGGACCUUCAUGUAUCAAAAAGCAUGUCACUGAAGAAGAAGCCGAAGAAUUUCUGAAAAAGAUGAAGUUACCAGAGUAUUCACUAAUAGAUCAAUUGAAGAAAACCCCUGCUCAAAUUUCCCUCUUAUCGUUGUUGUUGUAUUCCAAGGAACAUCGUGAUAUUAUACUAAAGGUAUUAAAUGAAGCAUAUGUUACUAGGGAUAUUACAGUAAAUCAGCUUGAUAAACUAGUUGGAAAAAUCUUUGAGGUCAAUCGGAUCAGCUUCUCUGACGAUGAAUUGCCGAUUGAAGGUAUGAGGCAUCACCGGGGCCUUUACAUUACAGUGAAAUGCAAAGAUUUCUAUGUCACUCAUGUCAUUAUUGACGGAGGUUCAGGAGCAAAUAUCUGCCCUAUUUCUACUUUGCAAAAGUGAAUAUUGGUGUUGAGAGGAUUAGGCCCAACAAUAUAUGUGUCAAGGCUUUCGAUGGUGCAAAAUCAAAUUCCAUUGGCGAAAUAGAAUUAAUGCUAAUUAUUGGGCCUGUCCAAUUUGCCAUAGAGUUUCAAGUAUUGAAUAUCGAAUCCUUUUACAAUCUGUUAUUGGGAAGACCGUGGAUUCACAAGGCCAAGGCGGUUGCAUCUACACUGCACCAAAUGAUUAAGUUUAAGCAUGAUAGGCAAGAAGUGGUUAUUCACGGUGAAGAAGAUUUGUCCACCUGUGAAGAUUCUCCCUUGUCUCUUAUUGAAGCAAACAAUAUAGUGGAGACAUUUGUCUAUCAAAUUUUUGAUACAGUGCCAGUGGAUCGUACCCUUAAAGGGCAGGUUAUACCGGGAACACAAUUGUCUUCCGUUUCUAUCAUGAUGGUGAGUGAACUUUUGAAAUACGAAUUCAAGCCAGGAAGGGGUUUGGGAGCAUCUCUGCACGGUAUAGUUCGUCCCAUAUGUCUCAGUGAGAACGUGGGCACUUUUGGUCUAGAAUUUGAGCGAAAGCCAAGAGAAGGAAAAAAGGAAACAUGGUCACUCCCCCGCCCAAUGCCACUACUCAGUGAAUCAUUUAUUAAGAGCGGUGUCACGAAGCAGGUCGAAUUUGAAGAUGAUUUGGUUGAUGACUUCCAGAAUCUUAUUAUUGAAGUUGAUAUGGUUAAAGCAGGAGAAGGUAUCAGUAAGGCAGGUGUGAGUUCAUAGGCCCAGCUGUCCAUCUCAAUAAUUGGGAAGUCACUCCUCUCCCCGUCAGGAAGGAGUUUUUGUUGUUCAUUUUAUUUUUCUUUCUGUUUAUUCGAGUUAUUCCAGGGUUGUAAUUCAGAAUUUAGCUUGUUUAUAUUUUGUUGUUUGUGUUUAAACCCUCCUAUCUUUCCUUUUUAAAUGAAUGCAAUGUCCCUCUUAUUUUGUGUCUAAUAUAUUUCGUUUUUGUCUUUUACUUUAUAUAGUUCUCUUUAUGCUGAUUCUAAUGACAUGACAUGCGUGCAAAAUUUUUAGCCUGAUCUUAAAAUCCAAACUAAUCAAGAUAUAAUGAAGCAAGGGGGGAAUAUGAUGAAGAAGAGGCACUAGAAGAAAUAAGCAAAGAGUUGGAACAGUUUAAAGACAAACCGAAUCCUAAUUUGAAUGAAACUGAGCCAAUCAAUCUAGGGAAUCAAGAAGAUGUUAGGGAAACUAAAAUCAGUGUACAUGCAUUGCCAUAGUUAAAAGAGGAAAUAAUUCAAGCAUUAACUGAUUAUAAGGAUGUUUUUGCUUGGUCUUAUGAUGAUAUGCCUGGUUUAAGCACUGAAUUAGUGGCCCAUAAAUUGCCAACUGAUCCGCCAUUCCCUCAUGUCAUACAGAAUUUGAGGAAGUUUAACACUGAUAUACGUAUUAAAAUCAAAGAGAAAAUCAUGAAAUAAUUUGAAGCCAAAGUAGUUCGAGUGGCUCGUUAUCCCACCUGGUUAUAAAAUAUUGUUUCUGUCCCAAAGAAAGAUGGCAAAAUUUGGGUAUGUGUUGAUUACCGCGAUUUGAAUAGAGCAAGUCUGAAAGAUAAUUUUCCAUUGCCCAACAUCCAUAUUUUGCUGGACAACAACGCUAAACAUGAGGUUGCCUCUUUUGUGGAUUGUUAUGCCAGAUACCACCAAAUCAUUAUGGAUGAUGAAGACGCGAAAAAGACGUCUUUUAUCACACCAUGGGGGACCUAUUGCUAUCGAGUGAUGCCGUUCAGUUUGAAGAAUGCUGGAGCAACAUACAUGAGAGCCAUGACCACUAUGUUUCAUGAUAUGAUGCAUAAGGAGAUUGAGGUCUACGUAGAUGAUGUGAUUAUUAAGUCAAAAAGUCAGGUUGACCAUGUUAAAGAUUUAAGAAAGUUCUUUGAAAGGCUUCGCAGGUAUAAUCUCAAGCUCAACCCGACAAAAUAUGUAUUUGGAGUUUCGUCUGGAAAGCUAUUAGGGUUUGUAGUCAGCCGUUGGGGAAUUGAAUUGGAUCCCUCAAAAAUCAAAGCUAUUCAGGAUUUACCCCCGCCCAAGAAUAGGACAGAGGUGAUGAGUUUGCUUGGUAGACUGAACUAUAUCAGCAGGUUUAUUGCUCAACUUACAACCACGUGUGAGCCUAUUUUCAAGUUGCUGAAAAAGAGUGCUGUGGUAGAAUGGACUGAAGAAUGUCAGGAAGCAUUCGACAAAAUUAAAAGAUAUUUGUCAAAUCCGCCCAUGCUGGUACCACCAGAGCCUGGUAGGCCUUUGAUCUUAUAUUUAUCAGUCAUGGACAAUUCUUUCGGUUGUGUCCUGGGUCAACAUGAUGUCACAGACAAAAAGAAGCAGGCUAUUUAUUAUCUUAGCAAGAAGUUCACCGCAUAUGAGGCUAGGUAUACUCUUCUUGAAAGAACGUGUUGUGCCCUAACUGGGGUAGCACAGAAGUUGAAGCAUUAUCUCUCAUCCUACACCACUUAUCUCAUCUUCCGCAUGGAUCUUUUGAAGUAUAUUUUUUAGAAGCCUAUGCUGACAGGUCAAUUGGCAAAGUGACAAAUAUUUCUUACCAAGUUCAAUAUUGUAUAUGUGACUCGAACCGCCAUGAAAGCCCAAGCCUUGGCAGAUCAUCUUGCUGAGAAUCCCAUUUAUGAAGAUUAUAAGCCGCUAAAGACAUACUUUCCUGAUGAAGAGGUGUUGUGUGUCAAUGAAUUCAUUAUAAAUACUGAUCCAGGUUGGAAGUUGUUCUUUGAUAGAGCCGUUAACAUGAAGGGAGUCGGAAUAGGUGUAGUUCUUAUCUCUGAAUCAGGGCAACAUUUCCCGCUAACAGCACAACUUCGAUUUUAUGGUACCAAUAACAUGGCGGAAUAUGAAGCGUGCAUUCUUGGUUUAAGGCUAGCUGUCGAUAUGGGAGUCCAGGAAUUAUUAGUUUUGAGGGACUUUCUCGUCCAUCAAAUUCAAGGUGAUUGGGAGACAUGAGAUUUAAAGCUCAUCCCGUAUCGACAAUGCUUACAGGAGCUAUGUCAAUGAUUUGUUUUAGUAAAAUUUAGGCAUAUUUCAAGGAUUCAUAAUGAGAUUGCUGAUGCUUUAGCCACUCUGUCUUUAAUGCUUCAACAUCCUGAUAAAACCUACAUCGAUCCAGUGCAUAUACAGAGUCGUGAUUAGCAUGCUUACUAUAAUACGGUUGAAGAAGAGAUCGAUGGAGAACCUUGGUUCUUUGAUAUCAAGCGAAGAAUAUCCUACACAUGCCACCUGCGAUCAGAAAAGGACUAUUAGACAUUUGGCUAGUGGAUUUUUCUUAUGUGGGGGAAUCUUAUAUAAGAGAACCUCGGAUCUAGGACUUUUGAGGUGUGUAGAUGCAAGAGAAGCCUCGAUGAUCAUAGUUGACAUACACUCUGGAGUAUACGAUCCGCAUAUGAAUGGUUAUAUCUUGUCAAAGAAGAUACUUUGAGCAGGUUAUUAUUGGCUGACUAUGGAGCGGGAUUCUAUUCAGUUUGUUCGAAAAUAUCAUCAAUGUCAAGUACACGGUAAUCUAAUAUAUUCCCCUCCUGCUGAGUUACACGCGAUGUCUGCUCCAUGGCCUUUUGUAGCUUGGGGGAUGGACGUGAUUGGGCCGAUUGAACCAAAAGCGUCAAAUGGACAUAGAUUCAUUUUGGUGGCCAUUGAUUACUUCACAAAGUGGGUAGAAGCAGUAACUUUCAAGUUAGUAACAAAGAAGGUUGUGGUAGAUUUUGUUCAUACCAACAUUAUUUGUAGGUUCGGAAUCCCAAAGAUGAUCAUUAUGGACAAUGCUGCCAAUCUCAAUAGUCAUUUGAUGUAAGAAGUGUGCCAACAGUUCAAGAUCGCCCACCAAAAUUCCACUCUAUAUCAUCCAAAGGCUAAUGGUGUGGUGGAGGUCGCUAAUAAGAAUAUCAAGAAGAUACUGCAGAAAAUGGUACAAGGGUCUAGAUAAUAGCAUGAGAAGUUGCCGUUUGCUCUGUUAGGUUAUCGCACCAUGGUUCGCACUUCAACAUGGGCAACUCCAUAUUUAUUGGUGUACGGGACAAAAGCAGUCAUUCCUGUAGAAGUUAAAAUUCCCUCUCUUUGAGUUAUUGUGGAAGCAGAGAUUGAUGAUGAUGAGUGGGUCAAAACUCGACUGGAACAAUUAAGUUUGAUUGAGGAAAAAAGGCUAACGAUGGUAUGUCAUGGCCAAUUGUAUCAGAAGAGAAUGGCUCAAGCGUAUAACAAAAAGGUACGACCCAAGCAUUUUGAAGUUGGUCAGUUGGUAUUGAAGCGUAUCCUUCCUCACCAAGUUGAAGCGAAAGGCAAGUUCUCCCUAAACUGGCAAGGUCCCUUGAUUGUAAAGAAAGUGUUGCCCAAUGGAGCCUUAUAUUUGACAGAUAUUGAAGGCAAAAUGGAAGAAAUGACUAUCAAUGAUGAUGCCGUCAAAAGAUAUUAUGUAUGAUAUUUUAUCUUUUGUUGAUGUUAUUGCAUGUUUAGUACUUGCAUUUUUGGAGAUUGAUAUUAUGAAGGCAUUUUAUUCUUCUAUCCAAACAUUGUGUCAUCCUUUGUUUACCCGAGCUUAGUUUUAUUUUUCUUUCAUAUCCCUCUUUUGGAAUCAAAAUAGAGUCAAAGAUAAAUGUCAGGAAAAUAAGAAUAAAAGAAAGACUUCAAAAAUAAAAGAAAAAAAGAGAAAAAAAUCAAUCAAAUCAAAACAAAAAACAAGCUGAUGGAACUACGUGCGACCUGAUUCUCCUCUCUCGAGUGUGAGAUAUGUAGGCUGCCCUAUUUCGGGCUCAGUCCAACCAAAUAAUAUUUUUAGAGUCACCCAGUCAACGAAAAAUUGGGGCAUGAGUUAAUGUGUUGUUUGAGUCGAUUCCAAAAGUUGUAUGUCCCACCCCCAUUUCAAGUGUCAUUUGAGCCUCUUGCCAUCCUUUUCUAACCUUAUCCAAAAGCCAAGUUACAACCAAAGAAAGUCUUUCAGAUCAAUUUUUGAUAAUGUUAAUGUUAAGCAUGCAAUGGAUAUGAUAAUACAUCAUGGGGUACUACUUGUUUUCCUCAGCGUAAGAAAUCAGGAAGGAAAUGGAAAUGAGAGAGUCUUAUUGGUGAAAACCCUCAUGGGCACCAUAAGGCGAUGGUGAGUUGAGAGAAAUAAAAAAUGAGAGAGUCUUACUGGUGAAAACCCUCACGGGCACCGUAAGGCGAUGACAAGUUCGAAAGAAAGGUGAAAGAAAAAGAGGUUUGUUAGCGAAAAUCUUUCAAGAUGUCCUCAAUUGAAUAAUAUAUAUGAGUCCAAUGAAUUGGAAGAAGCAGCAGCGGCAAAGGCACGAUCUCAACAACAAAUGGGAAGUUUGGAUAGGAAGAUCAAACAGCUUAAUCCAAAAUGCAUGUCAUAGUCAUUGGAGUUGGUUGCCAUCUUCAGAUAAGUUUUCUUCUUUGUUAAAAAGAGGGACAUUGGCCUUUUCUUUCAUUUACAUAUUCAUGCUUUUUCUCUUUUUAUGUCAUUUAUCAAAAUAAAAGACACCAUCAUUUCUUUACAUUUUAAGUCAAGUCUGUGUCAAAACAAGCGAGAAAAAAUUUCAAAACUUGCUACCAGUCUUUCCAAUUGUAUGAGGAAAAGCCAAGGACCAGCACAUGAAAGAAAUAUGACCGUAAUUCAAUAUGAAGAAAAGGAAGUCUAUCAACCGACAGGUUGUUGGAUUCGUGGGAGCAUUCAGAUUUGGAAAAGGGUGCACCUCAGAGGCAUGGUAAAAUGGAAACCUAUUGUUCGAGUCAGAACUCAUUUUCCUCAAGCUGGAUUUGGGUCAAUGAUGCGGCAAGAGAGGGCAAGUGUCAGCGAUUUGGAACAAAGAUGAAAGGAACGAGUGUUGGGGCAGAUGCCUGAGAAGCCAAGUGCUGCAAGCCACCACUAAGUUUUUAAUUGACAAAUUUUCUUUGUUGGAACAGGGGCAAAUUCACUUCACUUAAUUCAGCUACCAUUGAAAAAACACAUCCAUGGGGACUUUACUUUCUGUUCAGAACCCUCCUGAAAAAAUGAGAUUUUACUUUCUGUUCAGGACCCUCCUGAAAAAUGAGAUUUUACUUUAUGUUCAGGACCCUCCUGAAAAAUGAAAUUUUACUUUAUGUUCAGGACCCUCCUGAAAAAUGAAAUUUUACUUUAUGUUCAGGACCCUCCUGAAAAAUGAAAUUUUACUUUAUGUUCAGGACCCUCCUGAAAAAUGAAAUUUUACUUUAUGUUCAGGACCCUCCUGAAAAAUGAAAUUUUACUUUAUGUUCAGGACCCUCCUGAAAAAUGGGACUUUACUUUUUGUUCAGGACCCUCCUGAAAAAUGAGAUUUUACUUUCUGUUCAGGACCCUCCUGAAAAAAUGGGAUUUUACUUUCUGUUCAGGACCCUCUUGGAAAAUGAAAUUUUACUAUAUGUUCAGGACCCUUCUGAAAAAUGAGAUUUUACUUUAUGUAGGACCCUCUUGAAAAAUGGGAAUCUACUUUACUUUCUGUUCAGGACCCUCCUGAAAAAUGAGACUUUACUUUCUGUUCAGGACCCUCCUGAAAAAUGGAAUUUUACUUUCUCUUCAGGCCCCUCCUGAAAAAUAGAACUUUACUUACUGUUCAGGACCCUCCUGAAAAAUGAGAAUUUACUUUAUGUUUAGGACCCUCCUGAAAAAUGGGAAUUGACCUUAUGUUCAGGACCCUCCUGAAAAAUGAAAUUUUACUUUAUGUUCAGGACCCUCCUAAAAAAUGGGAAUUAACUUUCUGUUCAGGAGCCUCCUAAAAAAUGGGACUUUACUUUCUGCUCAGGACCCUCUUGAAAAUGGGAUUUUACUUUUUGUUCAGGCCCAUCCUGAAAAAUGGGACUUUACUUUCUGUUCAGGACCCUCCAAAAAAAUAGAACUUUACUUUCUGUUCAGGACCCUCCUAAAAAUAGAAUUUUACUUUUUGUUCUGACCCCUCUUAAAAAAUGGGACUUUGAGCAACAGUAAGCAUGUGUGUGUGGGACAAUAAAGCGUGGCAGAUUGAGUGCCGACGUGCCGUGAUAGACUCACGAGGUGCUUUCAUUGACCUGCACAAAUAACAAGUUACAUUGAAUUUUGCUAUGUGACAUGCCACGCUGAAUUGGGACCCACAUUAAUAAUGUACUGACAUUACAUCGAAUACAUUAUUGUUAUUAAAAAUGCAAUACAAAAUUGGAGUAGUAAGUAUUAGUACUCUCUGAUUUCAUAUUAUGCAGAGCGAUAUAUUUUAUCAACCAUAGAGUUAUUUAAAAAUCUAUGAUAUCAGGUAUAUUAUAACAUUUUUGUGAGUGUGAUAUCAAGUAAUUUCUAGGAUAUUCUCUUAUCACUUGAUACGAAAUCUAAAAUUCAAAGUGGUCCUCAUGGAAAAAAUCAUUUCUACAUAGUUAUGUCUUAUAGUAGUAGUUUUUUUCUUCUCUCUUUGACUAUUUUUUCUAUCAUACACAUCAUAUAAUAAUAUCUUAAUUUUGUUUGCUUCUCUUUUGCCUUUUUUCUAUCUUAGACUAUUCUUUCUUUUCGAUAUAUCACACAUAGUGUCUUUUGUUUUUGUCCCCUCCCUUGGACAAUUCUUUUUAUCUGACAUAUGACUAUGAACUCCAAAUCUGGAGAAAAUUUGGUAAGCCUUGCGGCAAUAUUUUAUUGUAGCGGUUCUCUUUCAACUACUAAUUAAUCAAUAGUUUAUGUUAAUUGUAUUUCUUAAAACUGAAUUAUUCAACUAGUCUGCUUGAACUCUGGACUAAAAGGGAGAAAGAGAAAAGGAAGGAUAAAAAAGUAUGGAAAGGUUUAUAAUCAAGGAGAUUAAAAUUCCUUCAACAGUAUACAAUUCCUAUUAUAUCCUUGAUGAAAUAUGAUUGGUGGGUUGGGAAUAAUUUUCCCUCUAAUCCCAAGUUAAUAUAUUUUCGAGUAUUGUCGAUAAUCAAGAUCUACAUUUUCAAGCUCACGAAGAGAAAGCAUACAAUAUCAUGUAAGAUUGCAAACAUGUGCUAGAGACCGGAAGUAAAUGAAGUUAUUAGUUAUAUACUAGAGGGAAGCAACUUAUGAAAGAUAUUGAGAAAUUUAUAUAAUUUUUGCAAUGUAAUGAAAAUAUUUAAACAUUUAAAGAAUCUAUGUCUAAAUUUAAUGUCUUGAUCUUUAUACUCCAAAUUUUACAAAUACUGGGACAAAUAAAGUAAUUAACAUGAUAAUCUAGAUAUUUGUGUUGGUACCGAAAGUGGAGAAUCCCCAAAGGUACACAAAGCAAAGACCAAUAGGUCUUAGCAACUUCAGCUAUAAAAUUAUUUCGAAAAUGCUGAACACCCGACUUAUCAAGGUUAUUCAUAAAAUAGUUUCACCAAAUCAAGCGAGUUUUCUGAAAGGUAGAUUUAUCUCUGAUAACAUUAUGUUAACUCAAAACAUAGUUUAUAACAUUGGUAAAAAUAAUACUAAUGGUAAUGUUGUAUUAAAACUUGACAUGACUAAAGCUUUCGAUAGAGUAGAUUGAAAAUAUCUUUGUCAGGCACUUAAAACUUUUGGAUUCUCUGAUUAUUGGACUGACGUGAUUUGAAGGCUUCUUUCUAAUAAUUGGUACCCUGUUAAUAUUAAUGAGGAAAGACAUGAUUUCUUCAAAUCAAGCAGAGGAAUUAAGCAAGGUGAUCCUCUCUCUCUCUUUAUUAUUAGCUUUGAACUACUGUCUGUUCUAAUGGAUCAAGUAAAAAAUGAGCAUUUUAUUCCAUAUACUAUUGAUAAAGGUUCUAUUCUCUUUAGGAGAUCCUUUGUCACUUACAGCCAUGAUGAAUAAACUAGCUGUUUAUGAAAAAUGUUCUGGACAACUUAUUAACAAGAGAAAAUCUUGCUUCUUAGUUGGUCCAAAUACUUCUCAAUCUACCAUUAAUGACAUCAAACAAGUUACAAGUUACGAUCAACAAAAGUUUUCUUUCGAUUACUUAGGAGCUCCUAUCUACAACGGAAGGAAAAAAGUUGUUUAUUUUUAUAAAUUAGCUUCUAAGGUUGCUAAUCGAAUGCAAGGCUGGCAAGGUAAGAUGCUUUCUCAUGGAGGUAGGGUUGUUCUUAUAAAAUCUGUCCUUUUCUCUAUGCCUUUACAUACUCUUUCUGGGAUUCAACUUACCAAAACAACUAUUAAUCAAAUUGAGAGCUUAUGGCUAAUUUUUUCUGGAGUGAUGGGGAUAGUAAAAAGAAAAUGCAUUGGAUAGCUUGGUGGAAAUUGUGUUUCCCUACUUUAGAAGGUGGGGUUGAUUUUAGAUCAAUUCAAGACAUCAAUAAUGCUUUUGGUGCUAAAAUAUGGUGGAAUUUCAGAACUAAGGAUUCUCUUUUGAAAAAGUUUCUAGAAAAUAAUUAUUUUCCGAAAGUAGGGCUGUGCAAAAACCGAACCGACCGAUAAAUCGAACCGAUAAAAAUGUUAUUGGGUUAUUGGUAUUGUGUUAUCAGGUUAACAGUUUUUUUAUCGAUUUUAUUAAAAAAUCUAUUGGGUAAACGGUUCGGUAUUGGUUUUAGCUUAUUAGGUUAUCGGUUAAACCGAUAACCUAAUAAGGAUACACUAAUUUAUUGUUUUAUCCCUAUUUAUUUUAUAUAUUUAAAUCUCGAUCUGUCUAUCUGUGUAUCUGUCUAUCUGUCUAUCUGUCUAAUCUGUCUAAUUUGUCUAAUCUGUCUGUCUGUCUGGUGUGUCUGGUGUGUCUGUUCUGUCUGUUCUGUCUGUUUUUCUGUUCUUCUGUCCAUCUGUCGGUCUGUCGGUCUGGUCUGUCUGGUCUGUCUUGUCUAGUCCAUCUAAUCCAUCUAUUCUAUCUAAUCCAUCCAUCUAAUCGGUCUAAUCAGUCUAAUAUGUCUGUUUGGUCUGUCUGGUCUGUUUGGUCUGUCUGGUCUGUCUGUUCUGUCUAUUCUGUCUGUUCGUCUGUCCAUCUGUCCGUCUGUUUAUCUGUCCGUCUGUCGGUCUAGUCGGUCUGGUCUGUCUGGUCUGUCUUGUCUAGUCCAUCUAUUCCAUCUAUUCGUCGGUCUGGUUUGUCUGGUCUGUCUUGUCUAAUCCAUCUAAUCCAUCUAUUCCAUCUAAUCCAUCUCUAUUCCAUCUAAUCCAUCUAAUCCAUCUAUCCAUCGAUCCAUCGAUCCAUCGAUCCAUCUAUCCAUCUAUCCAUCUAUCCAUCUAUCCAUCUAUCCAUCUAUCCAUCUCUAUCUAUCUAUCUAUCUAUCUAAUUAUAUACACUACCAAUUCAUAAUUCAGCGAUUCACAAAGUAUUAACCUAUUUAGGGCAACAAAGGCACAAUAUAAAGUUUGGCUAUUAUCGUAAUAAAAAGUUUAAAGCAUUUAUAGCUUCCAACAAUUAGGAUUCAAUUUUUCUCCUAACUAACAUUCAGUUCAAGUUUGAAGAUUCUUGUAAACUAAAAUGCAUUGCGUAGGUUUUGGCGCUAAUUAAGAUUUCAUUUUUUUAUGUUAGUUGUUACUAUUUCUAUUUUAUAAGUAUUUUCUUAUUGGUUAAACCGAAAAUCGAACCGUUAAGGACCAAAACCGAUAAAUCGAAACCGAUAAGAAAAUAUCUUAUUAGUUGGUUAUUGGUUUUACAUAUUUAAAAAUCAAAAACCGAUAAACCGAACUAAUAACACGUAAAACCGAACCGAACCGAUCGAUGCACACCCCUAUCCGAAAGCUCAUCCUGUCUACAAAAAAUGGGCCACAAGACAGUCUCACAUUUGGAAAAGACUUCUAGAAUCUAGAAAUUAGAGUGAAAAAUAUAUCAUUUGAAAAAUUGCUAAAGGAGAUAUUUCUUUUUGGUGGGAUAAUUGGAUCGGUUCUGGACCUCUAGCUUAAUUUUUUCCAUCUACUUAUCAUUCUAAAAAGAUCAAAGUUUCUGAAUUCAUCAGUUGUAGUGUAUGGAACUUUAAUAAGCUGCGUAAUAUUCUCCCUAGUUACAUUGUUUAUCAUAUUGCUACUAUUUAUAUCAUUGACUACAAAACUGAUCUUUCUAUUUGGACUCCUAAUCAGAAUGAUCUUUUUACUACUAAGUCUGCUUGGCAGACGCUGAGAAAGACUAGAAACACUACCCUUACUGCUACAAUGAUAUGGCAAAAAAAUAUUCCUUACAAAAUCUCCUUUUUUAUGCUUAGGUUAAUGAACAACAAGCUUCCUACAGAUGAAGCCUUGCAGAAAUUCAGAAUUCACGGGCCUUCAAAGUGUAUUUGUUGUAAAAGAAGUAUUGAGAAUGUGGAUCACUUAUUCAGUGGAGGAGAUUUGGCAGCUACAGUCUGAAAUUUUUUCUUCAAUUGUUGUGGCACCAACAAUAGACAAGAAAGAAUAAGAGAUACACUUAUUAAAUGGUGGUUGAGCAGUACAAAUAAUAGAGUCUAUAUAGUUCUUGUACAUUGUCUACCUUUAUUCAUUUUUUGGGAAACCUGGAAAGCUAGAUGUAAUAAAAAUAUGAAGACAUCAAAAGCUCUCCAGAUACUAUCAUCAACAAGGUUAUUUAUCAAAUCAGAAUACUUGUGGCAUGCCAGUUCCCCCAAGUCCAACUUAAGCAGCAGUGGCGCCACACUCUUCUCCAUAUCGAAAAUCUCAAACCUAGGAUUAAUAUUAAAUGUCUUAGGUAGAGCAGACCCAUCUUUAAUAUAUUUAAACUAAAUACAGAUAGAUGUAGCAAAGAAAAUCUAGGAAGCGCAGGAGAAGGGGGUGUUCUUUGGGAUGAAAAUGUACAGAUGGUCAUGGCUUAUUCAUAAUACUAUGGUAAAUGUUCCAACAAUGUUGCAGAAUCUAAAGCUAUUCUAUAUAGAAUAACAUGAUGCAUGACAAAUGGUUUCAAAGAUGUGGACAUUGAAUCAGAUUCUAUGCUCACGUCAAAAUGAUCAACGAGCAGACCAAAGUUCAUUUUCAUAUGAUGCCGAUCAUACACCAAAUCAACAAACUUAAGAGACAAGGUAGUUAUAAGUUUCAACAGUGCUAUAGAGAAGCUAAUAACUUGACAGAUUACUUGGAAAACUUGGGCGAGAGACAAAAACAAAGCUCUUUCUUCACACAAAACUUGACCUUGUCUAAUGGGAUUAAAAACUGGUUGAAGAAUGACAUGGAUGGAAGCCCAAUUUUCAGAAUUCGAGCUCAGAAAAACUCUUUUGACAAUGGUUAAUUUUGUUUAUAUAUUUUGGUUUGGGCAUAUAUUAGUGGAAGCUAUUAGGUUCUCAACUUUAAAGCACAAUCCCAUUUGCUUUGGCAAAGGGACUCUUUUGUACAAGGAUGAACUCUUCAUUUUCCUUAUUUCUCAAGGUGCUUUGAACAAAAUUCCAACACACCACUUUGUAAUUUUAUCUCUAUCAAUAUAUAGAUUAGGCUAAGCCUAAUCCCCACCAAUGAUGGUUUGAAAAAAAAACCCUAUAUACACCGAUAAUUGUAUCGUGACAUACAUCCAUAUAUUAACAAACCAAAAAUAAUUUAAUUUUAGAUGUUAUUAAUUUUUGUUUCUUUUAAGUAGUAUUUUUUAAUUUAUAAGAGUUGAUUUUUUAAUCGCAGUCUAUCAGAAUGAACAAUUGCUUUUUAUUAGGUUCGAAAAAAAUAUUACUUUUUCCUACUACAAUUUUUUUAUGCCAAUUCAUAAGAGGAAAAGAUAAACUCAUUCACAUAAUCGGCGUUUGUAUCGAAUAAUGUUAAUUUUGUGGUUAACUAAUAAAUUGAAGUGAUUGUACAUAUCAACUAAUAAGUAAUAAUUGUGGAUAAAUAAAAAAAGCUUAUAUAAAAAAGAAAAAUAUCAUGUAUCUUUGCUCGAUGAACAUCGAACUCCAGAAUCUUUAUGAGUAACUCGAAUAUUACAUUUGAAAAUUCAUAAAUGUUAUCAUAAAUUUAUCGUGGUAUGCAUCCAUAUAUUAACAAACCACAAAUAAUUUGAUUUCAGAGGCUAUAAUUAACCUUUGUUUCUUUUAAAUAGUAUUUUUCAAUUUAAAAGAAAAUUGACUACUUUAAUCGCAGUUUGUCAGAAUUAACAAUUAUUUUUUAUUAUGUUCGGGAGAAAUACAACCUUUUCCUACUACAAUAUUUUUAUGCCAAUCCGCAGGAGGAAAAGACAAACUUAUUCACAUAAUCGGUGCUUGUAUCGAACCAUGUUAAUUUUAUGGUUAACUAAUAAAUUGAAGUGAUUGUACAUAUCAACUAACAAGUAAUAAUCGUGUAUACUCCACCCUUAACCAGAGGUCGAGGGUUCGACCCUGAGUAUGGAGAAAACUCUGUUGGGAGCGCUGCCACCUUAAUUGGCCCUGCAACGCAUGAUCCGGAUUAGUCGGGGCUCCAAUGCGGGCACCAAAUACCAGAUGAGAAACCAAAAAAAUAAUCGUGUAUAAAUGAAUAAAGCGUACACAAAAAAAGAAAAAUAUCAUGUAUCUUUGCUCGUUCGAUGAACACCGAAUGUUAGAACCUUCCGGGAUAACUCGAAUAUAACAUUUGAAAAUUCAUAAAUGUUAUACUAAUGAAUAAUUUGAUAUUUUAUUAUUAAUCUUCAAUUUGGUUUCAAACAAAGUGGUAAAAUAAAAUAUCAUACGUACUAAUGAUGUAAUAAGCCACGGUCAAUUGCGAUCCAACGUUAUAAUUCAAAUUAAGAAAAACAUAUAUUGUCCAAUUAUGAAUUAUGGUCAUUAAGGAUUCGAUCAGCGCUAACGACACAAACAAAAUAGAGGCGAAAGCGGUUCCAUUCAAAUCGUUUACAAAAAAAGAAAAAACAUAAAUUUAUAGGCUCUCCAAGAAAUUUUAAUUUAUUUUCCUAAAAAGGUGAAACAAAAUAUUUGAAUUUCUAAUAUAAAAACUCUUGGUGUUGAGAGAAAAAAUCACAACUACUUCUUGAUUUCACAAAUAUUGAGUAGUGUUAAUUUAGCCAUGGCAAGAAGGAGCAAGGGUCGAAAAAAGGUUGAAAUAGUGAAAAUGAAAAAUCAAAGUAACAUGCAAGUUACUUUCUCUAAGCGUCCUGUUGGUCUCUUCAAAAAGGCUAAUGAACUUUGUACGCUAUGUGGUGCUGAAAUUGCCAUUGUGGUAUUUUCUCUAGGCAAGGCCAACAAAGUUUACUCCUUUGGCCACCCUUCAGUGGAGUUGUUGGUGGAUAGGUUCCUGGGGAGGGACCUCCCUCCACCAAAUGAUGAUGGCCACAACCACCUAAUCAUGGCUCAUCGAAACAUUGGUCAACGUGGCCUCAAUAAGGAGGUCAUGGACAUGCAGGAGUCUCUCCAGAAGGAGAAAGCUGUAGGACAAUCCCUACUUGAAUUUGGGAGGAGAGCCUAUGAUCGUUGCUGCGAAUCUCCGAUUAUCGAAGGACUUAGCCUCUCCCAACUUCAACAAUUGAAGAAGGCAUUGGAAGUUCAAAAGCGAAAGGUUGAAUUCGAGGCAGAACUACGACAAAUGGCGAGUGAUGCUCUACUCCCAUUGCUCACCUUUGGAAGUGCCUUGUCUCCAUCCAACUAGUGGUGAUGGGGCAAGUUCUUCACGUGGACCCAAUGUUGGUGCACCCUUUGCUAAUUAGGGCUGGUGGAUCUACUUUUUCUGCAGUUCCCUACUAGUUCAACUGUCGUUCCUAAUUCGCACAUUAUGGAACAUAUGAGUAAUAAGCGCGCAUCUAGGUUUAUCGUGUCAUUUGAGUUAUCCUCAGUGUGUGUCUUUUAUAUUUGAGUCGUCCUAUGAUGUUCAUCAUCAAUGUUAUGGUUCAUUCGAACCCUGUAAGUUUAGUUAUUAUGUGUCAUGUUGUCAGUCCAUUGUCGUGUUGAUUUUAUCAUUUGAAUGGUGUUAGUGUGUGUCAUUUGAGUCAUGUUAUUAGUCCAUAAUCGUGUUGAUUUUAUCAUUUGAACGAUGACAGUGUGUCAUUUGAGUCAUCGUAUAAUGUUCUAUCAUUUGAGUCAUCAUAUAAUGUUCUAUCAUCAGUUAUGAUUAGUUAUGAUUCAUUCAAACCCAGUAAUUUUAGUUAUAUAUUAUAUGUUGUUUAGUUUAUUGUUAUGUUGAUUUUAUACUUGAAUGGUGUUGCUCUCUUCUUUAACAACAUAUAUCUAGAUAUUACAAAUCUUCAAAAGAAAAUCGAUGUAUGCCCGUUUGUAUGUUAUCAUAUGUAGUGCUAGGUAUACGGUGGCUACUGGCUACCACUACAACUAGGGGUGUUCAUGGGUCGGUUUGGAUUGGUUAGUGGUUAAAAUCAUAACCAAAAUCAACUUAGUCGGUUUUUUAAUUUCUAAAACCAAACCAAACCAAACCACAAAAACAAAAUAAUCGUUGGUUAGGUUCUUGUCGGUUUGGUUCGGUUUUUCGAUUUUUCCGGUUAUUGAAUAGUCUACUCCAACCAUCUCUAGAAUAAACUCGUUCUUUUAACCCAUAGAAAAGAGUAUCAAAUUGAACAAUUUCUCAUGAAAUAUUUGUACAGUGAUGGACAAAUGAUACUAUAAACUCUUAAAAAUCAGAACAAAUACAUUAAACAAAACCAACAUUGAGAUGAAAAACACUAGCUUGGUAUUGUAGGCACUAAGAUUAUCCAACAACAUACAUGUACAUUAUAAAAUAGAGUUUUGUAUUCUGUUGCAGUGUACUGCAAGAAGAGAUAGAGUUGGGCAAAUUUGAGUAAUCUGUUUACUUUAUAGACUAGCUAGGUGAGCUAAUAAUAUAUGGAAAAGAUUGAAAAAAUAAGGAGACAUAAAACUACCAUUUGAACCAGGGACCAUGGUAACUCGUUUGAAAGAUUCUUUGUUUAUGUAACCGAAGAUGAAGUAGCAUAUGGAUUACAGUUUCAGUCAUUAUUCAUGCCAUCUCUCUUGGGUUAUUCACAAACCAUACAUCAAUAAAAAUUCAGUAACAUUUAAUAAAAUCCCUCUGCACCAUUGCCGGGCUAAAGUUACAUCCCAUGAAACUUUGAGAUUUUACUAUAGUAUAGAAUUAGAUUUAAUCGCAGAAAAUAUCCCACAAAAAAUGAAGAGAAGACUACACUACGAAAGCGAGUGUAAACGAGAUAUAGGGGGUUAAGAAACUAAACAAGAAAAUAUUGCAAUAUCAGACCUAGCCGAGACUCCUUUCAAUGCGGUGCGGUGCUGCUUUUCAAUAAAGAAUAAAAGAAGCAGCAGUUGAUGUACUACGUAUUGUGAAAGUUGAAGUAGAAAAAGUGAGGUAGGAACCGUAGGUUAACUUAUUAGUAAUAGUGGGUAGAGUUGGGUUUGGGUUUGGGGCUUUGGGCAAAUGGGCUAAAGUAUUGGUUGGGCUAGAAAUAGAUUAAAAUUAAAUUUAAUAAAAUAUUUAUAUUUUAUUUAUAAAUUAUAUAUAAAUAAUUAGAAUAUAUAUAUAUAUAUAAAAACUUUAUCGGUUCGGUUUGAUUAUUUUAACGAUUUUUUUAAGUGAAAUCAUAACCAAACCAAAUAGCAUCAGUUUUUUAAAAUUUAAAACCAAACCUAAUUAAACCAAACUAAAUGUCGAUUUUUUUAAUCGGUUGCUUUGGUUCACGGUUCGAUUUGAUUUUUAACCAAACCCAUGAACACCCUUAACUACAAUAAAAAAGAUAUUUAGCGGAAAUAAAUAUUUCCACAAAAAUAUUUAACAACAUUUAAGUUAAGGUCAUUGCAUGUCGUUAACGUCUUUAGUGGCAGUUAUAUCGAGUGCCGAUAAAUGCUUAUACUAUUGGCUUCAAAAGUAAUUACUUUCAAUGUAUUUUUAUUUAGCGGCAAAUUGCUGGUAAAAAUUACUAACAGUAAAUAGGACUUAUUUUAUUGGGUACCACUACAACAAAAAAGAUAUUUAGUGGAAAUAAAUAUUACCGCAAAAAUAUUUAACGACAUGUAGGUUAAGGUCAUUGCAUGUCGUUAACGUCUUUAGAGGCAGUUAUAUCAAGUGCCGGUAAUGCUUAUGUUAUUGGCGCAAAAAAUAAUUACUUUUAACGACUUUUAUUUAGCGGCAAAUUGCUAGUAAAGCUACCGGUAAAUAGGACCUAUUUUAGUGGUCCUAUUAAGGAAAUAUUAUUAAUAAGUAUAUCUUAGAGUGCGGAAUCUAAAUAUGUCACCAUAUUUAAAAAGGAAUCAAUCUAUGUCACCGAUUUAAAAAGUUAAAAAAAUGGAUUGUUUGCACAAAAUAAGUGCACAAUAUCCUUUAUUCUGUCUUGACACCGUUAAAAUAGGAUAGUGCAAUAAAUAAGUGCACCAUCCAUAUUUUAUAUGGAUAGUGCACUAUUCAUUUUUUUAUGGAUAGUGCUCUAUCCAUUUUUUUAAUGAAUAGUGCACUAAAUAAGUGCACUAUCUAUUUAUUUUAUGGAUAGUGCACUAAAAAAGUACACUAUCAAUUAUUUUUGAUAUAUUGCACUUCUUUUGUGCAUUAUUCCCCUUUUUUCUAUAAUUUAGUGCAUUUUUUUAGUGCACUAUUCAUAAAAUAAAUAGAUAGUACAUUGAAAAAAAAGGGCACUAUUAAUUAUUUUGAUAUAUUGCACUUCUUUUGUUAGGUGAAAUUUUACGUAUUUUAUUGUAAGAUGAAAUUUUAAUUUUUUUAUAAUACCAAAUUGCAACAUAACAUACCAUGUAAAAAGUUACGUAUUUGUAUGUCAAUGAAUGGUGUAAUUUUUUGUGAGAUGAAAUUUUACGUAUUUUAUUUUGAGAUGAAAAUUUAAUUUUUUUUAUAACACCAAAUUGCAACAUAAUGUACAAUGUAAAAAAUUACAUAUCUUCUUCAUUAGUUUCAGGAACUAUGUCGAAUUCAUGUUGUGUUGGCUCAACUAAACUGAAUUGGUUUAUACAACAAUAUGUCACUCCAAAAUUUAAUGUUUGGGGCAAAUGUUUUUGAAGGCCUAUCCAUUCGUUAACAAUUGGAUAUACUGGAUAGGUAGAAUCUCAAUGUAGUCUCUGAUUUUAAAGUACUUUCCAAUGCUCCUCUUCAUCUGUUCUUUGAAAGAUAAGAUCAUCUAAUGCAUGAAAAAGUUCUAAUGCUUUUUCCAUUUAUGAUAUUUUCUUAUUCAAGUGUUCAAUAACUUGUGCGUCAUCCCUGAAUUUACAUAUCUGAAAUGUUGCGGACUGUGCCUGUGGAACGGUCAAACUAUGCCAUCAACAUAGAACCUCAUAAUCACACCGUUUAGAAUAUAGUUGAGUUCACUAAAGUAUUUCUCCCCAAAUAAUAAAAUCACCAGCUUUAGAGGAGUAUGUUUCUCCGACAAUGAUGUGUCCAACAAUUUGUAAAUCAUGAUAAAUAAAAAUAGGUUUAUUUUCUAAGGGACGAAUUCGACCAUACCAUUUUUUCCCGGAUAAAUCUGUAUAGCACCCAAAUACUUUUGCAAGAUUUUUUGAAAUUCUCUCAUUUUUUAUUUUUCUAAUAUCAAACCAACUUUUCAUUGAAGUUUGGCGUAAUGCGUUAUUUGUAAUGAGUUGUAAAAUAUUAUCACGAAAUAAAAUACGUAAAAUUUUAUCUCACAAAAAAUUACUCCAUUUAUUAACAUACAAAUACGUAACUUUUUACAUUGUACGUUAUGUUGCAAUUUGGUAUUAUAAAAAAAUUAAAAUUUCAUCUCACAAUAAAAUACGUAAAAUUUCAUCUCACAAAAGAAGUGCAAGUUAUCAAAAUAAUUGAUAGUGCAUUUUUUUAAUGCAUUAUCCAUUUAUUUUAUGAAUAGUGCACUAAAAAAAUACACUAAACUAUAGAAAAAAGGGAAUACUGCACAAAAGAAGUGCAAUAUAUCAAAAUUAAUUGAUAGUGUACUUUUUUAGUGCACUAUCCAUAAAAUAAAUGGAUAGUGCACUUAUUUAGUGCAUUAUUCAUAAAAAAAAAAAUGAAUAGUGCACUAUCCAUAAAAAAUGGCUAGUGCAUUAAAUAAGUGCGCUAUCCUAUUUUAAUCGUGUCAAGAUGGAACAAAAAAUAUAACUUUUUAAAUUAAUGGCAUAGAUUGGUUCAUUUUUAAAUAUGGUGGCAUAUUUAGGUUCCGCACUCUAUAUCUUAGUACUAACCAUGAUAAAUAGCAUUAGUUUGGUGUAUACAUAGAAAAAAUUAACUUGACCAAUGCAAUAUUUUACAGGAAUUCCAAAAAUCUAUGGUAAAAAUGGAAAGUAGUAUACAGUCAGCACUAUGAUUAGUAUAUGGGCUCGUUUGGUAUAAGAGAUCAGAGAUAAUUAAUACUGAGUUUAAUUUUAGGAUCAAUUUAUCCCAUAUUUGAUUGAGAUAAAAUGCAUGAGAUAACUUAUCCCUUAAGGGUGAAAUACCUAAUCUUGAAUAGUUAAUUUCAAGAUAACUUAUUUUCAACCAAACAACAAUAUGCACGUAAGUCACGUAAUCUAAUGAAAAUAUUUACAAAACUUUUCCACUAUUAAACUGCACUUACGAUACAUACUUGGCAUAAUACUGGACCACGCAUAUAAUAGAAAAAAGGCUUAACCAAUAUACACCGAUAGUUUAAAUGAGUACCCUGCUAUUGCGCGUGAAAUAAUAUGCAUACUUGAAUUUUAUUGAUUCAAAUCGCGAGAUGUAAAAGCUUGGGUGAAUGAUUUUAAUUGUUUAAGAAAUUGUUCGAUUUUCUUUUAGGCUUCAAAAUCUAUGGUACAUGUGAAUAAAAAUAGGGGCGGACCUAUGUAGGAUUUUGGGGUGUUCCGACACCCACUAAACUCGAUGCAGAAUAGGUAUAAUUACAUAAAAAAUAUAAGAAAAUAGGUAUAAAACAUAUAAAAACACCCACUAUAACAAAAAGUUGGGUGGGUGCAUUGAUAUUUAAGUUGAUCUUAAGGUGCUUCAUUGGAAGGAGGCCCCGGAUUUGAAGCUCAUUGAGAUGACUCUUUUACUUUUUUCAGUUUUUAAAUUUUUUAAGCACCAAUUAUCCUUAAAUCCUAGAGCUGUCACUGAAUAAAAACUUAUUUUGGGUAUAUAAUUUUCGCUAUUUUUGUUUUUAAAGAAGAAUCUAGAUGCAACAGUAAAAAUUAUCGCCGCGUGAUUAGCUAGGGAGGUCACGGGUUUAAAUAAAUAAAUUCAAGGUAAAAUACACAUAGAUGAUAUCAAAUCCUACUUACUUUACAAAAGCAAAAUAAUGUAAGUCAAGGUAAAGUUACAGGAAGAGGAACUAAAAGGAUUGAAAAUCAUGGAAUAAACUCUGUGGCCAGUUUUCUACCGCUUAGUGCUGAUAGAAGAACGGAGAAUUAGUCUCACGGCUAUCAGCUGUGGAGAUACUUGGAACUACAAAAAAAAAAAAGAGGAUUGAAAAUCCAAAUCCUACCGUACAAAAUAAGAAUAAUUAAAUCCUUCAAAGAAGAAAACAAUUAAAAAAAAAAAUUGGUCAACUUUUUAAGUGUUAGUGGCUUUGUGCCCCGAUUAAUCAUUUUAGGAUAAUCAUUUUUUUUUAUGAGUUUAAGUUUUGUCCACCGUUAGUGCAUAAAAUAUUCUGCAUUAUCAGUUAACUUGACCUGCUAUUGCAGGUUACCUAAUUAUUUACAUAAAAAUUUAAAAAAAAAAUAGAUAACCUGCAAUAGCAAAUUAAUUUACCUGAUAGUGUAAAAUAUUUUGUAAACUGACAAUUCACAAAACCUAAAUUCUUUUUUAAUUGUACCAAAAGCACAUAAUUAUCUUUUGUAAUAUAAAAAAUAAUAAUUUAAUUUUGUUCAGUUAUCACAAAAAAACACUAAAAUACUUUUUAUAACAAAAAUAUAAUUUGAGUCAUCCUAUGAUGUUCAUCAUCUGUUAUGGUUCAUUUGAACCCUAUAAGUUUAGUUAUGUGUCAUGUUGUCAGUCCAUUGUCAUGUUGAUUUUAUCAUUUGCAUGGUGUUAGUGUGUGUUGUUUGAGUUGUCGUUUAAUAUUUUAUUAUCAGUUAUGAUUCAUCUGAACCCAGUAAUUUUAAUUAUAUGUGUUAUGUUAUCUGUCAAUUGUCAUGUUGAUGUUAUCCUUGAAUGGUGUUGCUAUCUUCUUUAACAUUUAACAUGUAUCUGUUAUCCUUGAAUGAUGUUGCUCUCUUCUUUAACAUGUAUCUAGAUAUUACAAAUCUCCAAAGAAAAUCGUUUUAUGCUUGUUUGUAUAUUCUCAUAUAUCGUGCUAGGUAUAUGGUGGCUACUGACUACCAACUACAACAAAAGAGAGAUUUCGCGGCAAUAAAUAUUACUACGAAAAUAUUUAACGGCAUUUAAGUUAAGGUCAUUGCAUUUAGUGUCGUUAAAGUGUUGUGGCAUUUAUAUCGAAUGUUCGGUAAAUGCUUAUAUUAUUGGUGCUAAAAGUAAUUGCUUUCAACGACAUUUAUUUAGCGGCAAAUUAUUGUAGACACCUAAUUUUAUCCCUCCCCGAUAUCGUUUUUAUCCAUUUUUUACUUUAUCCUACUGUGUACCCUCACCAAUGUAAUUAUACCCACAAAAAUACAAAAAUAACAAAAAUUCAAUAAAUCCCUAACCUUAUCCUAACAAACUUUAUCCUAUACCCUACCCCACCUACCUACCCACGUGAAACCCCCUCCCCCUUUUUCUUUCCCAUAACCGAAUGGGUAAAAAUACCCAAUGGACUCACCAGGAAACAAAAAAAAAAACACACACACACACACACAACCCUCUCAAUACAUAUAGAAAACACACUCACAUUCACGAUAGACCCCCAUUUUUCUUUUCAAUUCCAAAGAUCCACACAGAAGCCAUUAGAGAGCUGGUUUUCCUCUCCUUUUCUUGUUCUUCGCACACUCUCACAGCUUGGCUCACUCACAAACCGCUGAACACGACACACAAAGAGAUUGAGAAGGAGAUCGUGAGAGAGAGAAGAGAAACAUAGAGAGAGCUGACAGGAAAAUGACGUGAGAGAUAGAGAAUAUAAACGGAGAGAAAUUAAGGAAAGAAGAACAAAAUCUAGCUGACAUCGAGUUUUUCGACGACUGUUUCGCAGGAAUCAGUUGUUGUUCCUUGGAUUCGGGCAUCGUUGACUCUCUCUCGCCACUAAAAAUCUAACCCAAUGACUAAAACUAGUUGAAAUCGACUUUUGGUUUGAUUCCGUUGUGAUUCGAGUUGACUCCGAUGGGAUUUUGAUACGGGUUUUCCGCGGUUCUUCAUGAUUUCUGUCUGGAUUGGUUUAAUAUUUCUGCUUCGAUUCUAUUUUGGGGUUGAUUCUGGGUUUAAAUCUAUCUGGAUCUUUAUUUCUCAGUAUCGAGUUCAGAGUUUGCUCAUUGUCGAGGUUCUGAAUUUGUAAAGUUCCUCCAUUUGAUUGAAUAAAAGCGACAUUAAGGUCCAUUCUUCAUCUCAUUCUCAAUUAAUUCUUGAUUGUGUGAUACUUUGUGUGGUAAAUUCAUGGUGUGUGAUUUCUAUUUUGUUGAUUUCAAUAUGUCGUGGAUCAUCAGGUUGGUUGUUGAUAUCGAUUGGUUGAUUGUUGUGAACUGAAAUAUCAAAGAACUUGGACUCGAUUUGGGGUUAAACCGUAAUUUGGGGUGGUAUCAAAAGUUGGCUAAUUUGUAAUUUCACUUAGUUUAUUUAAUUUGACAUCUUGUUUGAUUUUGACGUUGUUAAACGUGGCAUUAGCAUGAUAAGUUGAAAGUAAUAGAAAAAGGUAGGUUGGGUAGGCAAAGUUUAGGAUCCGUGAUUGUUAAAUGAUGAAAUGUUUGUGGUAUGGUUUUGAUUUAUGCAUUGGGAUCUAUUGUAUUCAUUUGGUCGGAGAAUGCCCCUAGGAAUUUGUAUUGAUUUAUCCGAGGAAUGCCCCGAGAGAUUUGUAUUGAUUUAUCCGAAGAAUGCCCCGAAGUAUCAUGUACUUGAAGACGGCGCACUAUCAAGGCCCGGAACAUCAGGUGGAGAUAGCAAUGGAGCGUAGUUUAGGAUUAGCCUAGAAUAGAGUAGGUUUAUAUUUUUGAAUUUUUCUAUUUCGGGACUGUAUAAUUGGACUGCACACUAAAUUUUGGAUUAUUUUGUUUUGAAUGCUUGAUUGAUUGUUUUUGCGUGCUUUGUGUGGUUUAUACAUUCGUAGUGUCAAAUUAGCCGAUACGCUCCACCAAGCGACCGUGGUCGAACCACGGGAUCGAGGGGUGCCUAACACGUUCCUCUCGGUCAACAGAAUUCCUUAGCCAGAGUCUCUGUUUGCAAAUCAGUUUUAAAGAGUCAAAUUGUUUUGCAAAGGAUUGUCCAAAGGUGACUUGGCACAUCGGAUUAUGCCAAGUGGCGACUCUGAGUUUUGAAUGGAAACAUAAUCCAUUUUCGAAACAAAUCUUCAUUUUGUCACUUUAAUAAUAAAAACCCUUUCGAACUUUAAAAUGAUAUCUUUUCGGCAUAUGAAAAAGGGGUGUGACAGCUCUGGCGACUCCGCUGGGGAUUUUUCAGAAUUCGAGCUUAUUUUGGAGUUGUAUCGGCUUAGUUUGAUACUAUAGGUGUAUAGACAUUUUGUUUGUGUUGUUUUGUGUUAUUGUUUACCAUUGUUGAGUGUCUACGUGUUCUUUGUUUACAGUUUUUACUUUAUGUGUUACUGUUUUGUAUCUGACAUCAUGUGCAUAACCUGAGUCUUUCUUUCUGCAACAAAUCCGUAGUACACAUGUGUACAUGAUCUAUAGUUGAGUCACCCUUAUUUUAGGAGGGGGAGUCGUUGGGUUGUAUGGAGUAGGUGUACAGCUAAAGCAAUCCACUAUCGACCAUACGCUCCCCCGAACAGCCUUGUUAGUGGACUCCAACGUAGGUCAGCCUUUAGGUCAUGCUUAUCUGCAUCAUAUUGAGACCUAGCGGGACCCACGCGGCCCUUUGUAGGAGACUCACCUCUAAAGCAUCCCUACGUGCUAAAUGUUGCAUCUUUGAGGGUAAUGUGGUCAUUUGACGGACUGAUUUGGGGAAAACAUGUGUUAAAAGUAAAGUGCAUAGGCAAGAAAUGUUGAGAAAAAAAUAGAAAAAAGAAAGUGAAAAGUGAGUCAAAAAGAAAAAAAAGAGAGUUUUGCAGUUUUUAGAGUUCUUUAUGGCUUUUGUUUUCCACGAUUCAAAAAUUCAAAAAAAAAGUUUUUUUUUUACUUUUUGCACCCAUUUUUCAAAAAAAAAAAAACAUCAAAAAGAUUUUCCUUUUGUUUCAUUUAGCAAGCAUUCACAAUACGAAAACUCCAAAAAGAUUUUUUUAAGAGCUUUUUAUAAAAGAAAAAUUCAAAAAAAGGGUGGUAGAAGUUUUGUACAUUUCAUAUAACGAAAGUACCAAAACAAAUUUCUUUCAUAGCUGUUGAUGUCAUUUUUUAUGUGAAGUGUCAAAUUGAAAACUAAAAAAAAAAAAAAGAAUUUUGUUAUGUUGUUCAUCGUGUGUCUUUGGUCGUGUCUCAAGUCAGGGUGCAAUCUGUUAUUUAAUCAUUAAUUGUCCAAUAUGGACGAACUACGCACACGCACCCCUGAUUCUCCUCUCUCGGGAGUGAGAUGCGUAGGCAGCCUAUUGUUGGUUCGGGGAUCUUAUUUGAAAAAAUCCAAAAAGAUUAUUCUUCACUCUUUAUUUAGAGUAAGUGUUUCAUGUACAUCUUUAAAAGAAAACUACAAAAAGAUUUUUCUUUAAUAGGUUCAGGUUUCAUUUUCAUAUUAAAUUUAAAACUGAAAACCCAAAAAAAUUUUCUUUGGUAAUCAUAGAUUUCACUUUGUAUAGGAAUGUUAAAGCUGAAAAAUUCAAAAACAUUUUCAUCAAUUCUUUUGACAAAUUGUUAUUUUCUUUUCUUCUUAAUGUUUUGAGAAAAAAGAAAAAAAAACAAAGAGUUUAAUUGGUCAUUUUGGCAAAACUUCACGAACUACGCACACUUGAUUCUUCUCUUUCGGGAGUGAGAUACGUAGGCGCCCUUCUUGGGUUCGGUGAUCUUUUUUUUUUUUUUUAAAGAAGAGAUUUUGAGAAAGUGUUGAACUCUAACGCAUUUGCUAUCUCUUAUUCAGUUAGUUUGAGGUGGUUGGUUUGUGGCAUUUUAGCUGGUCCUUCAUAUUGCAUCAAGUCACAGAGAAGGUUAUGGCCAACAAGGAUACCGAGUUUGUUCUCACUAAUCAGAUAGGGAGUUCGGGAAGUGAGAAUUUUGGAGAUAAUAAAGAGAUUCGUAAAUUAAGGCAGCAAAUGAUAGAAAUGCAUCGAGCUUGGGCUAAUGGGUUGCCGCCUCCUCCAGUUCCCACUGAUAAUCUGAAAUAUCUUUCUAGCUUGCCUCCCGUGUCAUAUACACAAUUUUCUAUUGUUGUCGAUAUGCCACAACAUGCAUCAGGAUCGACUUCAUGGCAACAAUAUCCAACCACUUCCAAUGUUUAUUUUCUCACUUCCUAAUCCAAGACUACCAUAUACUCGACUCCACCUGUUGAUCAUGCUUUUGCGGCGCCACCCCCACCUGAAGCUCCUACUUUAAUGUUCGUCCAUGAGUUGUGCCUCCCUACUCUACAAGAGAGCCUGCAUUGAAUAUUACUGGCGAUCAACGUUACACUUUCGAGCCUACAUUCAAGUUGACUGGUCUUUACAGUGACACUCACCCGCCUGAAUUUACUCCUAACACUGAGAAACCUGUUAUGACAGAAGAGCAAGAGAAAAUGACCAGAAAAUUGAGAAGUUUGGAACUGGCUAUGAAGAACUUGCAAGUACUUGGGGGUUACAAAAGUGUCUCAUAUAAGGACUUAUGCAUGUUUUCAGGUGUCAACCUUCCUCCUGGCUUUAAAAUUCCAAAGUUUGAGAAGUAUGGCGGACAUGGGGACCCAGUGGCACAUUUGAGGCGCUAUUGUAACCAAUUAAGGGGUGCUGGAGGAAAGGAAGAACUACUCAUGACUUAUUUCGGAGAGUCUUUCAGGCCUACCUUCGGAAUAGUUUGUUGACCAAGACAUUGACAAGUGGAUUAGUUGGGAUGACCUAGCUAAUGAAUUUGUGCAACAAUUUCAAUACAACGUGGAGUUGAUCCCUGACGAAAAAUCCCUAACUAGUAUGAAGAAGAAGAAUACUGAGAUUUUCAGGGAGUAUGCGAUCAGAUGGCGCAAACAAGUUGCUAGAGUGAAACCGCUAAUGAAAGAAAGAAAAAUAGUGGAGGUUUUAUUCAAGCGCAGGAUGAAACAUAUUAUCAACACUUGAUACCUGCAUUGGGCAAGUGAUUUAUUGAGGUCCUUAAAAUGGGGGAGAUGAUAGAAGAGGGAAUUAAGACAGGUCGCAUUGUGAGUUUUGCAAUAUUGAAAGCGACUACUCAAGCAAUUCAAAAGGGUUCAGGAAGUGUUGGGGAGACAAAGAAUGAGGAAGAUGCAUCUGCUAUUGUAGUUGGACAGCGGAAACGGUCAAGAAAACCCCGUCGUCGUCACUCUCAGGCAAAAACCCAAGUUCAUACCCAAACUCCACACAAUCACUCCCAAAAUCCAUUAUACUCUGCUUCUCCACCUCCAUAUCUAGUAUAUAAUGUAUAGCCAUAUGUUCAACCCCCAUCUUACCCACAGUGGAACACACUAAUUCCUCAGAGUCAUCCUCUAACUCCACAAACAUACCAAAACCCUUCUAAGCCUGAUUUUCGAUCUAAGCCAAAUGAUGAAAUGAGGCAGAAGUUAAGAGAUAGCUUCACACCAAUUAGAGAGUCGUAUGCCAGUCUAUUUCAGAGAUUGGUACCAUGGGGCAUGAUCACUCCUCUCCUUGGGUGCACUCUUAAUCGGCGUUCAAGAAAUUUUGAUCCUAAGGUACGAUGUGCGUAUCAUUCUAAUGCUCAGGAUCAUAGUAUUAAAGAUUGUCGAGAUUUAAAAAUAGAAAUUGAAAAGAUUGUUCAAAAUGGAUCAAUUAUGGUGCAGAACAUUGACAGUGAGGGGAACUCUAGUCAUGCUAAUAUGCAAACCAGUGGCUAAGAUGUCCGGUUGAGCAAUUGAGAAGUCACCCCUCUCCCUACUAGGAAGAGGUCUGGUAGUUUGUUUUGUUUUAUUUUUUGUUAUUCGAAUUAUUUCAGGGUUGUAGUUCAGGAUCUAUCUUGUUUUGUCCUUUUGUCAUUUAUAUUCAAACCCUUUUAUCUUUUGUUUCAACUAAAUGAAGUGUCCUAUUUUUCUUUGUGUUUUAAAUAUGUGUUAUUUGUUUGUUUUCUUUACAUAGUACAUUUUAUGUUGACUCUAGUGAUAUGACAUGCUAGGGAAAUUUUCAGCCAGAUCUUAAAAUCCAGUUUAAGCAUGAGCAUUGAAUCAAAGAGUUAAAGUUAAAAAAAGAGAGUAUCUUAGAAAAUAGAUAGAGUGCUGGGGCAUUUGGUGAUCAAGUUGAAGCCUCCUUUAAAAAUUAAGGAAAUUAUUUUGAGAAUUGUGAGAAUAACUUGGUCAGCAUUUGAAAGACAUGUCUCAAUUAGGUCAAAUAGUGGAUGUGUGAUCCUACAUCAAAAGGAAUAAAAAAUUAGCUCCACGAAAGCAUGAGGAAUGUACAACAAAGAUGGAGUUGGCAGAAAAAGUAGCGAUGCACAGUCUUAGUUAAAAUUAGUGCUGUAAAAAUAUCACAAAUGAUCUUCAUCUCUCACUUUCAUAUUGCAUGAUAUGUACUUGCAUUUUCAAGGAUUGAUAUGACGAAGGCAUUUCAUUCUUCUAUCCAAACAUCGUGUCAUCCUUUGUUUACCCCAUUUGAGCUUUAGUCCUAUUUUCUUUCAUACCCCUCUUUUGGAAUCAAGAUACAGUCAGCAAAGCUUAAAAGAAAAGUGUCGAGCAAAACAAUAGAGCCAGAAAGUUUCAAAAAGAAAUGAGAGAAAAAAUGUGUCCAAAAGAAGGAAAAGAAUAGAGCGUCAAGAAAAAAAUAGAGUCAGAAGGUUCCAAAAAGAAAAAAAAUCAAUAAAUGAGUCAACAAAAGAAAAAAAAAAUCAGAAUCAAGCAAAAGAAUAAGCCGCCAGAACUACGUAUGACCUGAUUCUCCUCUUUAGGGGGUGAGAUACGUAGGCUGCCCCACCCGGGGCUUAGUCCAACCAAAUAAACAAUUUAGAGUCACCCAGUCAGAAGAAACUGGGGCAUGAGUUGAUACUCAUUGUUUGAGUCGAUUCUAAAAGUUGUAAGUCCUAUCCCACUCCAAGUGUCGUUUGGGCCUCAUGUCAUCCUUUCUUUCUAACCCUAUUCAAAAGCCAAGUUACAACUAAAGAAAGACCUUCAUAUCAAUCUUUGAGGAUGUUAAGGCUAAGCAUGCAAGGGAUAUGAUGAUGCAAUUUGGGAACUACCUAUCUUCCUCAGCAUAAGGAAUCAAGAGAGAAAUAAAAAUGAGAGUGUCUUAUUAGUGAAAACACUCACAGGCACCAUAAGACGAUGGUAAGUUGAGAGAGAUAAAAAUGAGAGAUUCUUAUUAGCGAAAACCCUCACGGGCACUGAAAGACGACUGCGAGUUGAGAGAAAUGAAAAUAAGAGAGUCUCAUUGGUUAAAAACCCUCACGAACAUCGUAAGACAAUGGUGAGCUGGAAAAAAAAAUGAGAGAGGCUUGUUGGCGAAAACCCUUCAAGGUUUCACUAGACGAAUGAGGUCUUAAAGGCAAUUGACCUAAGGAAACAACUCAGUUUCAAGCCCAGUUAACUCAAUAACAAUGGAUAGAAAGUUUGAAUGGAAAGAUCAAACAGCUUAAUCCAAAAUGCAUGGCAUGAUCAUUAGAGUUGACUGUCAUUUCUAGAUAAAUUUUUUGUUUCUUUGUUUCAAAUGGGGACAUUCAUUGUCUUUUCUUUCUUUUCUUUAUUUUUAUUAUUAUUUUAUUGAGUUAGUUAUCCAAAUAAACAUUGUCAUUUUUUCUCUAGUCUUUGAGUUAAGUCCAUGUCGAAACAAGUGAGAAAAGAUUUCAAAACUGGCUACCAGCUUCUUUAAUUGCACAAAGAAAGACAAAGCUAGCAUAUGAAAGAGACAUGAUUGUGAUCCAAAAAAAGGGCAUGCAGAAGUUUUGUCAACAGAUAAGUCUGGGAACUCAUGGAAAUACCAAAGUUCAAAGGAUUUAUCUGAAGAGCAUGGCAAAUCAAAGAUACUGUGCUUGUUUCAAAGUCACUCUUAAUAAUCUGAGCUUGGGUCAGUGAUGCAUCAAGUCAAUGAUAUAUGUAAUGGUUGGAAACAAGAUUAAUGUGAUGAGGGCAAGGGCAAUCUCCGCGAAAGCUAAAGCCACAAAUCAGCCACCAUAUUUCAAACUCACAAGUUUUCUUUGAUGAAAUAGGAAACAUACUACCUUCAAAGCAAUAACUUCAGAGCAUAAACAUCAAGGGCUGCAAUGCCUCACUUUUACAAAUGCAGAAAGCAACGUUGCUGCAUAAGUUUGAUAAUAAAAUUAUGGUAAAAAUUUAUCAUCCUAUAUCCCUCGGAGACACACUUGUCUAGGAUUUCAAGUUUUCAUUUGAUAGGUGAUAUACUUCUUAAAUUGAACCUUCACUCCUAGGAGACAUACAUUUUAGUCGAGUCAGCUCCUUUGAUUCCUAUAAGACGUACCUUUUAGUCGAGUCAUCCCCCUUGGUUUCUAUAAGACGUACCUUUUAGUCGAUUCAUCCCCCUUGAUUCCUAUAAGACGUACCUUUUAGUUGAGUCAUUUCCCUGAUUCCUAUAAGACGUACCUUUUAGUAGAGUCAUUAUCCUUGAUUCUUAUAAUGAUGUGACUUUCACAAAAGUCCUUUGAUGAUAAACUGGGGCAAAAUUUAAUUCUUGUGUUUGGAACUUCACUUUUCUGGCAAAUGAAAUCUCUUUAUAAUAAUCUUUGUUUGGGAUAAUUUUUUUAUUAGUUUUAAUGUGAUUUUAGGAGCCCGCCUGAAGAGCAGGACGAAUAAAUGAAAAGUCAAGAAACAUGGUGAAGAAGUGGAAAGUCAAGCAACAUGGUGAAAAGAUGAAAGUUAACAGAUUGAUGAAAUAGUAAGUCAGGAGCCCGCCUGAAGAACAGAGUGAUGAAAUUGUUAGUCAGGAGCCCGCCUGAUGAACAGGGUAAUGAAAUUGCAAGACAGGAGCCCGCCUGAAGAAUAGGAUAAUGAAAUGGCAAGUCAGGAGCCCGCCCGAACCACAGGGCAAAUAAAUGGAAAGUUAAGCAACAAGGUGAAGCAAUUGAAGACCAAGCAACAAGUGAUGAAAUUGCAAGUCAGGAGCCCGCCUGAAGAAUAGGGUGAUGAAACCUAAGUCAGGAACCCAACGGAAGCUGUAUAGAUAGGAUUUUGUAAUUUCAUUUAUAUUUUAACUUGUAAUUUUCAUUUUGAUGUAAUGAUAGAGCCGCGGAACAGAACCUCGAUGGAACCUCACUCGACUCUCCAACUCGGUAUAGUCCAUUUCCUUAUAAUCCUUUGAGACACCGUCACUUGAUUCCUCUAUAACUUGGGUGGGUAGGACGGCUUAAGUCAGAACUUGGUUGUUCUUCUUUUUUCUGUUUCUUCCUUUGAGUAAUGGUCAGGACAAAAUUCUGUCUUGUUGUCUACUUCUUUGUCAGAAAACACUUUGUGUUCAGAUUCAAAGGGGGCAUGAUGUAGACACCUAAUUUCGUCCCUUCCCGUUAUCGUUUUUACCCAUUUUUUACUUUAUCCUAUCGUGUACCCUCACCCAUGUAAUUAUACCCCACAAAAAUACAAAAAUAACAAAAAUUCAAUAAAUCCCUAACCUUAUCCUAACAAACAUUAUCCUAUACCCUACCACACAUACCUACCCGCGUGAAACCCUCCUCCCCCUUUUUCUUUCCCAUAACCGAAUGGGUAAACAUACCCAAGGAACUCACCAGGAAACAAAAAAAACACAACCCUCUCAAUACAUAUAGAAAACACACUCUCAUUCACGAUAAACCCCCAUUUUUCUUUUCAAUUCCAAAGAUCCACACAUAAGUCAUUAGAGAGUUGGUUUUCCUUUUUUUUUCUUGUUCAUCGCACACUCUCACAGCUUGGCUUACUCACAAACUACUGAACAUGACACACAGAGAGAUUGAGAGGGAGAUCAUGAGGGAGAGAAAAGAAACAGAGAGAGAGCUGACAGAAAAAUGACGUAAGAGAUAGAGAACAUAAACGGAGAGAAAUUAAGGAAAGAAGAACAAAAUCUAGCUGACGUCGAGUUUUUUGAUGAUUGUUUUGCCAAAAUCAGUCAUUGUUCCUUGGAUUCGAGCAUCGUUGACCCGUAUUGCAUCUCUCUCGCCGCUAAAAAUCUAACCCGACGACUGAAACUAGUUGAAAUAGAUAUUUGGUUUGGUUCCAUUGAGAUUCGAGUUGACUCCGAUAGGAUUUCGAUACGGGUUUUCCUCGGUUGUUCAUGAUUUCUAUCUCGAUUGGUUUAAUAUUUCUGCGUCGAUUUUGUUUUGGGGUUGAUUCUGGGUUUAAAUCUAUCCGGAUCUUUAUUUAUCGGUAUCGAGUUCGGAGUUUAUUCAUUGUCGAGGUUCCGAAUUCGUAAAGUUCCUCCAUUUGAUUGAAUAAAAGCGACAUUAAGGUCCAUUCUUCAUCUCAUUCUCAAUUAAUUCUUGAUUGUGUGAUACUUUAUGUGGUAAAUUCAUGGUGUGUGGAUUCUAUUUUGUUGAUUUUGAUAUGUCGUGGAUCAUCAUGGUUGGUUGUUGAUAUCGAUCGGUUGAUUGUUGUGAAUUGAAAUAAUCAAAGAACAUGAACUCGAUUUGGGGUUAAACCAUAAUUCGGGGUGGUAUCGAAUGUUGGCUAAUUUGCAAUUUCACUUAGUUUAUUUAAUUUGACAUCUUGUUUGAUUUUGACGUUGUUAAAUGUGGUAGUAGCAUGAUAAGUCGAAAGUAAUAGGAAAAGGUAGGUUGGGUAGGCAAAGUUUAGGAUCCGUGAUUGUUGAAUGAUGAAAUGUUUGUGGUAUGGUUUUGAUUUAUGCAUUGAGAUCUAUUGUAUUCAUUUGGUCGGGGAAUGCCCCGAGGGAUUCGUAUUGAUUUAGCCGGGGAAUGCCCCGAAGUAUCAUGUACUUGAAGAUGGUGCACUAUCAAGGCCCGGAACAUCAGGUGGAGAUAGCAAUGGAGCAUAGUUUAGGAUUAGCCUAGAAUAGAGUAGGUUUAUAUUUUUGGAUUUUUCUAUUUCGGGACUGUAUAAUUGGACUGCACACUAAAUUUUGGAUUAUUUUGUUUUGAUUGCUUGAUUGAUUGUUUUUGCGUGCUUUGUGUGAUUUAUACAUUCGUAGUGUCAAAUUAGCUGAUAUGCUCCACCUAGCGACCAUGGUCAAACCACGGGAUCGAGAGGUGCCUAACACUUUCCCCUCGGUCAUCAAAUUCCUUAGCCGGAGUCUCUGUUCACAAACCAGUUUUAAAGAGUCAAAUUAUUUUGAAAAGGAUUGUCCAAAGGUGACUUGGCACACCGAAUUAUGCCAAGUGGCGACUCUGAGUUUUGAAUGUAAACAUAAUCCUUUUUCGGAACAAAUUUUUAUUUUGUCACUUUAAAAAUAAAAAUCCUUUUGAACCUUAAAAUGAUAUCUUUUUGGAGUACGAAAAAAGGGUGUGACAAUUAUUGAUAAAGCUACCAUAUUUUGUGGGUUUUCUUAUUACCGAUAAAUAGGACCUAUUUUAGUGGAAAGUAUUAUAAUGAUUAAAGUUAACCACGAAUUCACAUCACUUCAUAUACUGAAUAAGCCACAUUGCAGAAGAUAACAUACCGAAUAUAAAUGUAAUAUUUGUAUUUGUAUAAUUUAUCAUUUUAUAAAUAUUAGUGUUCGUAGAAAGAAAAAUAAAAAAUUUUUUAUAAUUGAUUAAAAAUACAAAUGAUCAUGUCAACUACAAAUUCAAAUACAAACAAAUGAAAUAAAUUAAAUUACAAACAAAAAUACAAUAUGUUGUCAACUUACAAAUAUAAAUACAAAACAGUUCUUUAAAAGUACAAGUGCAUCGAUAAAAAUAAUAUACAAAUACAAAUAAAAUGAAACCACAAAAUGUAAAUACAAUGUCCAGUCAAUUAUAAAAUACAAAUACAAAAUAAUUCUUUCAAAUACAAAUGUGAAUUGUAUAAAAUAUAAAUACGAACUAGCAAAUACAAAUACAAGUGUGAACUAUAACAUGCAAAUAUAAGUGCGAAUUAUGAAAUACAAAUACUAAUGCGAACUAUAAUAUAUAUACAAAAACAAGCAUGAACUAUAAAAUACAAAUACAAAUAUUGCAUCAACGAAUACAAAAUAUAAAUGAUGAUGUGAAUAAAAAUAUGAUAAGUAAUUAUCAUAUUUUUGUUAUUAUUGAUGACUUGUAAUCGAGUAGCCAAAAACAUUAAAAUAGAAAAAAAAAUCCAAAAAGAAAAUCAAAGAGGAAAAAAGAACAAAAAAAAAAACAAAGAAAAAAAAAAGAUAGCGACAAAAAUAAAAAAAAAAAAAAAGAAAAAAAAAAAAAAAAAAAAAAAGGAAAAAACAUAAAUAUAAAAGAAAAGAAGACAAAAAGAAAAAUAUGAAAAAUAAAAAAAUACAAAAAAUUAAAGAAAGAGUCGGAAAAAAAAGAAAAUAAAAAUAGAAAAAAAAUCAAAAAAGAGAAAAAAUAAAAUAAAAAAUAAUGAUAAAUAUAAAUAUAAUGCACAGUUAUGAUGUUUUCGUAACCAUUCAUGGCUUGUAUUCGAUGUAGUCAUAUUUUGUAAAAAUAAAAAAAUAUAAAAUAUAAAAUGUGACUAAUAUAUUUAUAUUUUUUAUGAAUACAAUUAUUAAGUAAAAAUAAAUACAAUGAAUGUGAAUCGAAUAUAUAGACUAAAAAUGAUAAUCUAUAAUAUAUUAAAAGUGUGAAGGCCAAGUGAAUUGAACUUUUUGCCCUUCAUUAAUCCUCCUCUUAAGAUAAAAUCGUCUUUUUACCUUUUUUAAAAAUUAUUAUUUAAUUUUUUUUUAAAUAUGAAUUAUAAUAUUAACUCCUAAAAUAUAAUGAGUUAGGAAGAAUUUUGAUCGAUUAAAAACUCUUAAAAUUACCAAUUUAAAGUUGAUUAUUUUUGGCAAAGUAUAAACAACAAUAGGAGUACGUUAGCUACUUUUGACAAAGUAGAAUUUUGAUCAAUUAAGAACUUAAAUUUGCUUAUUUAAAUUUGGCUAUUGUUGGCAAAGUAUAAACAAUAAUAGGACUACCUGUACGUGAAUUAAUUUUUGGCAAAGUAAACUGUAUUAUAUAAGGAGUCCUUGCUUUUUAGUUUUUAUUUUUCCUUCAAAGUAGGAGUUCUAACUAAUGUGAAUUAUUAUUUAUGGCAAAGUACACAGUAUAAGGAAUCCCAGAUUUUUAAUUUUUAUUUCAUCAUCGACAUUCAAAUCGCCAACGAAGGAUUCCAAAUCAAGAAGGGUUUCUGCCUAUUUCAAACAUAAACUAAAGCAUGAAUCUUACCAAAAAAAAACGAGAGAUACAAGUAUUUACCAAUGAGUUGCCACCCACCUCCACCAUAGCAACUCGAGUAAACCAACAACUUUCUACUGAUCUAUAGAGUACAUCUAUCUAAAAGUAAAUCAGAUCAAGCAUUUGUAUAUUCAGAAUCAAACCACAACAGAAGAAGUUUCUUUGAAAAGUGCUUUGUGAUGUUGUUCUGGUAAUGAUCUAGGGAAGGUCUUUAGAGUUCAAUGACUAUUUUCAACUUCUUUAUGGCUAGAAAACGGUGCAAGCAUUACUACAUGCAAUACAAAUACAUUAAAUAUUAACAGGUGAUCUUGUCAACAAAAUCAUUUUUAUAAAGAACGCAGAGAAUUUUAUAAAUAAAAACCUGAAAUAUAAUUCAUCAAAUUCAGUGUAAUUUUUUUUAUUAUUAUGAAUGUUGUUGUUGUUACUAUGUAAACAUGGGCUUGUACUAAAAUAGAAUUUUAUUAUAUAUGUACAUUCAACUUAUCCUAAAUAACUAAGCGAAUCCACCUUUUAUGAUUAAAGUUGCAUCAGUCAUGGAUAGGGAGAAGUCAAGGAAUUGCUAAUUCGGUGAUCCAACAAGUACUUUUUUAACAACACCAACGUCAUUAAACAUUCAUUAAGAAGCAUAUGCCAACCAACAAGUUACCUUAUCAAAAAAAAAAGUAUAUGCCAACCAACUAAAAAGUCUGACGAAACCACCUCUCUAGGUUGCAUACACACACACUCCUCAGACCCUAUUUGUGGGAUCUCACUGGGUAUGUUGUUGUCGUUGUUUCAAAACAACCAUCCUCAGACCUUUUAUAAUCUGAGUGUGGGAAAGAACAACCUUCCAUGCAUUCAAGCCAUGGUAACGCUCAUUUAAUCAAUUGAUUAAGGAGCUAAAUUGUGAUUGUGGUGUUUUGAUUAUUUACCGCAAAACUAGACACAAAUUAAUAUAAUUAAAGUAUUUCAUGAUAGUAUAUAUUAUUUAAAGAAAAAUUAUUUUUUUUUUAUGAUUUAAUUCUUAGUUUGAUAUAAUGUGAUUUUAAGCUUUAAUUGAUAAUAUUAGUUAUGUACCCUUGGUUUUAUUGGUUUCUAGGAUCUAUAUUUCAUGUUAGAUUUGAUUUUGUUUUAAGCUCCUAUGACUUUCAGUUUUUAUCGCAACAAUAGCAACAACAGAGGCGGAGGCUACUAUUAAGGUUAGGAAGAAAAAGGGUAUAAGUAGGAAGGAGAGGCUAGCGGCUAGGUUGUUGGGGGAGAAACAAGAGGAUGAAGAGAAGUUUCUAGAAAGUGAUGAUGAAGAAUGUCUUUUUCUUCAUUGGGAGUGUGGAUUCGUGCAAAGUUUGCUACUUUUAAUCUUUGAUACUAUUAAAAGGAACAUGAUCGACUACUUAGAAUUAUAUUGCUCGAAUUCUUUAAAAACAUGUUGAUGGUUGUGUAUCGCAUCUUUCGAAAGUAGUGUAAGUUAGAGAAUCUGACACGAUUGCGAUAACAUAUUUGUAGAAUUCAAGCAACAUUACUUGGAGGAUUUUUUGAAUAGACGAAUAUUGAUUUUAAUUAUAUGUUGUGUAAAGUCUUCGAAGCGGUACAAAUACUUCUCAAGCAACAUGUAGAAUUUUUUAAGUGACUUUUUACAUGCGUAACAAUACAGUUAUAUCUUGAAAUAUAAGCAGUUUGAUCUGAAUUUAUUUAAGUAGCUAGCAUCAGUAAGAGAAGCAUAAUUUUCAAUCUUUUGCUGGUGAUGAAGUUAUGUCCUUUAUGGAGCUAACAGAAAUGCAACAACUGAUUUCUUAUUAUAUACUAGUGACACUGAUCAUAAGUGUUUAUUGAAAUUACAUUAUAAAUGAUAUAAUUAAUAUUGUAACUAUCAACAUAAUCUAUUUUAUAAUUCAACUUUUCAAAUAAUCCAGUAAAGGUUUUAUAAUAAUGAUAAGGGACGCACAUUAUAAUAAUAAUAAUAAUAAUAAUAAUAAUAAUAAUAAUAAUAAUAAUAAUAAUAAUAAUAAUAAUAAUAAUAAUAAUAAUAAUAAUAAUAAUAAUAAUAAUAAUAAUAAUAAUAAUAAUAAUAAUAAUAAUAAUAAUUAAUCUAUAAUAUAUUAAAAGUGUGAAAACUUUUAGAAAAGUGAUUUGAACUUUUUGCCCUUCACUAAAAGACUCCACAAUAGAUAAAACAAUCAUUUACCAUAUUACUAAAUUAUUAUUUAAUUAUUUUGAAAUAUUUCAGGUGUCCCAUUAAAAUUUGGUUAUUAAUCUUAACUUAUUUACACAUAAUUAAAAAUACUAUUAAUUUUCAAGGUUAUUAAUCUUUUCUUAUUUAAACAUAAUUAAAAAUAUUAUUAAUUUUCAAAUAUUAAUUUACAUUUGAGGAACUGAUAAUAAAUUAAUCUUUUACAUAAAAAGAUGUAACCAAAUAUGAACUUUAAUACUAACAAAAUACUAUUUUAGUAGUUAUUUGUUGACUGAAUUUUUCGGUCCCUUUUUAACAAUCAUUUCACAAAAAUGGAUAGGUUAUUUUGGCAAGAACUUUACUUAAAAUAGAAAACAAAUUAAGUAAACUCUUUUUUUUAAUGUUAGCAUCCAAGUAAUUGUAUGAUUUUUUUAUCUCUUUACUUUUCUAUUUAAUUUAUAUUUUCUUUGCACUUUGAAAUUCUUUUUAUCAGCUAUUAGUUAUUCGUUGCUUUUAAAUGUUGGUGCUUUGUGGUAUUUUGAGAUUCUAUCAAUUUUUGAGAUUUUAUCAUAAUUUAUAUUUGAUAGUUGUCGACCUCACUCGGAAAAAUGUGGGUAGGAUGAAAAUUUCAAUUCAAAUUUUAAGCUUCAAAAGAACGCAGAUAAUUGAGGUACAAAUUCUAUUAAUUUAAUUAACAUACGAUUUAUUAUUUUGAAAGUUAGAUGAUCUAUCUAAAUUUAUUAUUUAGGAGGAAAUUAUUCUUGCAAUAUUUUUUUUUUGAUUGAUCAUAUGUGGGCUAAUUGAUUUGUCACAAAGAAAUUGAGGUUAACACUUUUAAUAUGCAUUUUGAUGUUGUCGUAAGUGUAUCAUUAAAUAUUUACAUCUAAUUAUGUACGUUCUUUGAUUAAAGAUAUAUACAAUAUUGAUUUUGAGUAAUUGAAGAAAGUAAAAGGUUUGUCCAUGUACGAUCAUUAGCUUUAGCAAGGUAAAGAAGUGAUGUUGGACAAGAUCGAAAGAUAAUAAUAAAUUCUUACAAAAUGUUUUUUUAUUCGUGCUUUCUUAAUUUUCUGACUUUUUUUCUCCCUUUCUGUUAUAUUUUAUAUUAUGAAUAUUAGUCUCAACCCUAAAUUGGAUCAUAGUGUACUAAUAAUAUUUAUGUUUUAAUUUUAUAUGACGUAACAUCUUCCUUAAUUUUGAAUAAUAAUCAUUCUUCCUCCUUUAUCCUAUUUGAUUUUUUAAAAUACCUAUUUUAUCCUUAUAUCUAUAUCAACAUUUGUUUCUCUUUUUAUUUUUAAAAAAAAACUUUUUUAAUUUUUUUUAAUCUAUAUAACAUAUUUUCGAUAAAAGUUUAAAAUUAUUUUUAAGAUAAAAAAAUAAUAGUGAAAAAUAUUAAUUGAGUAUAUAAUUUAAUGACAAACUAUAAUGAAAUAAAUGAGCAAAAUAGUAAAAAUUAAUUUUAUUAAAAUUCAAAACUCUAAUAUAUAUUUAUACGUGAAAAUAAUAGGUAAUUAUAAUUUUAUAAAUAUAUUUAUAUGUAAAAAUAAUAGGUAAUUAAAAUUUAAUUUGGCCGAUUUUUUAUCUUAAAUUAUGGUUUAAGAUAUCUAAUGUUUUUAUCUUAAAUAUCCAUGUGACUAUAAUAAAAAAACUUUUAUUAAAUCUUAUCAAAGUUUAAUAAAAUCAAACUUAUGUGUACACAUAUUAACCCCAAAAAUGCAGCAUUAGAAUCAAUCGUAGCAUCUUGCCAAGGUGAGGCGGGGAAGAAGAAAGUGGUAUCUUUUGAAUUUUAUUAUAUAUAUAUUAGUGGCAUCUUUUUUUAAAUAAUUUUUUACGUGACUGUGGUGUGACACGAGUGUGAUGCACCUUCUCUGUGAGAGUGAUUUUAUAUUUUUGAGGUGAUAUUUAAUUAAUUUACUAUAAAAUUAUUAAAAGGAUAAAUAAUUACCAGUUAAAUUAAAGGACUAAAGUAAAUUGAUAUGAUAAGGUUAUGAUCAUUUUCAUGUCUUUUCUCUAUAUGAUAUAAAAAAUUAAUUUAUUUUUGAUGUCAAAAUUUUUAAUGACAAAUUUAGUUCGGUAGUGCUUUUAUAAUAGAAAAUUUCUAAGUUGAGUAUAUUAUUAGUACAAAACAAAAAUUGAAAGACUUUACUAUAGUUAGGACGGAGCCAGGAUUUCAAAAAAGGGGGUUUCAUAUUCAAAGAAAACUUAGGAUUUCAAUUAAGUGGGUUUCAUAUUCAAAGAAAACUUAGCCGAAGAGAGUUCAACACCUACUAUAAUCACAUAAAAAAUAAUUUUAAUCAUUUAUAAAUAAUAUAUUUUUUCGUCGAAGAAGGUUCGAUAGAAUCCGAAUAAAAGGCCGGCUUCGCCCCGGACUAUAGUUUCUCAUAAUUGAAUGGACCGGAGAAAGUAGUUCAAAAGAUUGAUAGUGAUGACACUUGAAGAAUCAUAGAUUAUUGUUAUCCUAGGUAUGAAAUGCUUUUCAUAAAGAUAAAGUCCGACAUUUUAGAAAAAAUUAAUAAUAUGCUUUGCAUAAGAUAGAGAUGGAAUUAUAAAGAAAUCAAGUUCUUAUAUACAGACAUACUUUUAAAAUACAGUAAAAUCUUUUUAUAGUGAUAACGUUUAUCUGAAAAUAUUAUGGCUGCUAUAGAGAGGUGUUGUUACACUAUAUAUUUAUUGAUAUUUGACGUUCAAGUUUCAUUUAACAAAAGUAUGCAAAAUUAGAAAGAUCAUAAAUAAAAAAAGUCAAACAUUAGUAGCAUUUUCCUUGUAAAGUUAUGAAAUACUAAUAUGCACCAUUUAAAUUGAGUAAUUUUUAAAAAAAUUAGAUAUUCAUACUUAAAAUUUAUUGUAUGUGUAACAUUAAUAAUUAUUACCAUAAAUAUUUUGGUAUUUAUUUUAUAAUAUGGAGUAAUAUAUUUCUUACAAAAUAUUAUUACAUAAUAUUUGAGUAUGUUAUUAUAGAGAGAUAAUUUUAUAAAGAGAGAAGUAAAAUAUAAUAUAAAAAAUUGAUUUUAAGAAAAUCAAGUUGCUAGAGUGUAAUGUCAUUAUAAUGAGGUGACGUUAUAGAGAAGUACUACUAUGUAUAUAUAUAUUUUAGUAAAAUUGGCACCAAAUUAGGUGUUUUUAACGCAAAAAAAUAGGGAACAAUGCAAACCAAUCUGGGAAGGUCGAUUUUUUUUGCCAAAAAAUGAAUUUGAAGAGUAUUGUAACGAUCUAAGUUUUUAACUUGGCUUAAGUCAUCGAUAGGCCCUCAAACUUAUCCCGAAAAUUCACUUAGACCCUUCAACUAAGGUUUGUACCUAUCAGGCCCCUACCCCCGAAUUUUGAUCCAAUUGGACCUUUUUUGCCUACAUGGCACAUCGCGUGCUGCGUAACCGUGGGAGGCGCGGGAGGAGUGAAAAACCAAUCAGUCCAUGUGGCAAAAGUUAACGUUAAAUAACGUUACUUUUGUCAUCCCCUUCACUUUCCCUCUUUAUUUAACCUAAUUUCUUUUUUUUUUCUUUCAUUCUCUCCUCCAUAGCUCAUUUCUCUCUCAAUUUCUCUCAUCUCACUAUCAAAUUUAUCUCAUAAUUUCUCUUAAAUCAUUUUUUCUCUCAUUUUCGAUGAGAAUGUCGAAAAAUUUCGUUAAUGUUGAGGUUCCCGAUUUGUGUUAUUGUACCGAAUUUUGUCCUUUAAGAACUUCAAGGACUCCAUCAAAUACGGGUCAUAGAUUUUUUGGAUGUAAAGUUCCAAAGGUUUGUAUCAUUUUCACAGAUCUUAAUUUUAUUUUUUGGUGAUUUUUUGAUUAUUCUACUGUUUUUGCAUUUUAGGAAAAUAGUGGAUAUUGGGCAUUUUAAAUGGAUUGAUCAAAAACCUUCAAUUUCUGUGCAUCAAUAUUCUGAGGUAGUCGAGCUUAAUGAUUAGGUGCAAAGUUAGUGAAAAUUUGUGUGAUCGAUUGAAGCAAAAGCUCAAAGACGUUGAACAAGAGAGGGACACUUUGUGUGAGAAAUUGAAAGUAGUGAAGAGAAGUUGAUUGCAUUGAGGCAAAAACUCAAAAAAGUUAAACUUGAAAGGAAAUGUGCUAAACUCAAAUUGAAUAGAAUUAUUCUACUUCUUCUCAUUGUUCUUACUGUAAAGUGGUUCUUUAAUAUGGUGUAAGGUAGUAGUUAAGUUUGCCUAUUGAAUAGGCAAUUGGAUAUUGUAAUGGUUAGUUUGUAAUGGAUUUGUAAUAGUUAUUAGUUGUAGUUGUUUGGUUAGUUUAGUUUGUAAUGGUUAAUUUGUAGUAGUUGUUUGGUUAGAUUGUAUCAUUUUGACAUGUUGAAUGUGAAUGAAUUGUCAUGUUUUGUAUGACAAUCACAUUGUCAAUUACAUUGUGUCUAGUUUUGCAGCUACUGAAGGUAUAAUCAUAUAGCCUAUUUGUAACUACUGAAGGUAUUGAUAAAAAUGAACUAUAUUAGAAACAGCACAUCAUAUUAAAAUUGUUCAAGAUUGAGCUAAAAAGUGCAAGAAACAGUAUAUCAUAUUAAAACAGCUCAAAGUUGAUCUAAAAACUGCAUACAUCAGUAAACAAGGUGUUCGAAAAAAGCUCAACAUUGAGCAUAAUAGUUCUACUGUAGCAUACACCAAAGUCAUUAACUGCUACCUAAGAAAAGCUGUCCAAAAACUAGUAACACAAUUUGUUCAAAGUCAUUAACCCUCAUUACAGUACAAAUCAUUUCUAAAUGAACUACUUCUUAAAAGAUCCAACUGAUGAAGAAGACUUGGCUGCAUCCACUUUUUUCGCUUAUUUGCUUUCAUUUGUUGCUAUUGUGUGCUGGUGACUGCAUCUUUUCCAUUCCACUUUAGGCCACUAGGCUUAAAACUAAUAUCUAUAUUGAUUGGUGAAGCACUCUUUAAAUUUAUACCUCCAUAAAGAACCCUCUCACUUGAUGUACCAGGCUACAAAAUUAGGCAAAAUUGUAAGACAAUGAACAUUGAAAAGUUGAAUGAAAACAUUAUUAUAGGUAAAUAAUGAGACAGAGAAAACUACAUUGUACACUUGGGUUCCAGCUGCUGGAUCAGAGUAAACACCAAAACCAGUUGUAGGCCUUUUGUAUCCAGUAGCAACAACAAAUGAGGUAGCAUUGUAUGCCUCUUGUUGGUUGGCAAAGGUGGAACUUGACUGGAAAAAGCAUUUCUUCCACUUUCAAAUGUGGUCCCUCUCGCAUUGACUAUUUUUCUUGUCAAUCCUCCACCAAUCCCUCCUUGACCCCUACCAGAACCACCUCUCGUAUCAGCACUACAUUGACCCCUAUCAGAACCACCUCCCCUAUCAAUAUCACACUGAUCCCUACUAGAACCACCUUUACCUCUACCAGCAGCACCUUUACCUCUACCAGUAGCACCAUGACCUCUACCAGCCACACUUGACACCUUUCUUUAAGGUGCUCUUGGCACAACAGUUAUGUCAGCACAAAUAGAUCCUGAUUGACUGAAUUGUGUAGUUGCAUAUGUAUGAAAGGUGAAGCUUGACUGUGAAUAAAUGCAACACAAUAUUUUUAGCAAUUUAUAAUAAUAAUAAUAAUAAGGAGAAGAAUAUUAAGGCGGCAGAACAUAUAUAACUUACUCUUGUUGUCUGACUUUGAAUGUAGGUAUCUCUUGGCAUUGCACUGGUAUCACCAUAAAAAUAGAACUUGAUUAUGGUGGUGGUGGAUUCCAUGAGACUGUAGGCUGAGAGCUAGGUUGAAAAUUAUUACUUCUCCCAAUCCCAUUCUAACAGACAGACAGAAAUAUGAAAAAGUUAAGAAAUAUGUUAACUUUACAAACUAUUAUGAAAUUCAUUUAAGGCUUACCCUUUUUGCACGCAUAGUCUUGUUAUGGUCAACUUGCUUGCACCUUGAACAGGUCAUCUUGAUACCUUUUUUUAGAGUUAGCCUCAUUUUUUUGGCUCAUCCUUGUUCUUCCUUCUGUUCUUGCCAGGUUUGCCUGGCAUCUUUCUUGAUUUUGGAGGCUUAAUUGACGGGUUUGUGGUUUUCGACCACAUUUUCAUAUUGGUAAUUGGUUGAAUGAAAUGACUAUAAGACUUAAGAAAGGUUUCUUUCCAAUACCAGUGCUCUACAUGUUGAUCAGGAUCUUCAUUCAAGUAAUAAUAAGCACAAAUUGCAUGAAUACAAGGAAUACCUCUUAACAUCCAUAACCUACAAUCACAAUACUUUUAGACCAAGUGAACAACAAAUGUGUAACCCCCAUCCCCAAUUUCAAAACCAUUAACUCCAUUCCAUAGUACUCUACACCUAUUUGAAUUAUCCUUGUUAUCUUCUAAAAUAGUUCUUGUCAUAGGUGCAAUGUCUGAAAUUCAUGUUUCUGAAAAUCUGAUCAUAUCUACAUGCCUAUUCAUGAUUUUAUGCCUGAUAUCCUCUAACAUUGUGAUUAUGGAUUUAUGUCUAGCAGCUAAAAUUCAAGAAUUAAAAGUCUUACAUAUGUUAUUUUCUAUAAUAUCUCUCUAAACUUUACUUCAAAGCUUGCUUUUGCACAUCUCCAAAACUGUUUCCUUCUUUCUUCUCUUCUCCAGUGCACAUGCCAAUUGCUCUAAAUAUGUCUAGCACACAUUCUUCUCUCAGUAUUUGGUAAUAAAUUCAUCAAAAUAGGAACAAGGUCCUGUAAUAAGUAUAAGUAUGAUUAAAACAGAAAUUUUAUUGAAAAAUAAAGUUAAGUAAUAAGAAAAAUAAUUAAGUAGUGGAACCUUUUGUUGGUCUGACAUUACAGUCAAGCCUUCACCAGUUCUCAGAUUUAAAUCAGCAAUCAGAUACCUUAUGAACCAUUCCCAGCUAUGUUUUGUUUCAGUAUCUAUAACUGCCCAUGCAAUAGAAUACAUUUGGUUGUUCCCAUUUAUCCCUACAGCAACCAACAACUCACCCUUACAAGCUCCUUUGAGAAAGCAUCUAUCAAAACCAAUAAUUUUCCUACACCCAUCUAACCAUCCUUGCUUGAAGGCAUGCAAGCACACAUAGAAAUAAACAAACAGGUUCUUCCCUGGUUCAGUUUCUUUGUCAAUUUUUAUUCAACAAGAACUUCCAGGAUUUGUUUUCUUGAUCAUAUCUGCAUAGUCACAUAAUCUGGCAAAUUUCAGCUUUCAAUCACCCAUAUUCUCCCUCAUAACAAUCUGUUUAUCCCUAUAACAAAUAGUUUUACCUACAUAAAGACCCAACACCUCUCUUACCAAAUCCUGAAUUUCCCGAAUCCUAAUGUAUGGCUGAGAAACAAUUUUGUCCUUGAACUUUCUAGCAACCAGCUUUGAAUCACACAUUGUGUUAUUAUUUAGAGGAAUACACUUAUGAAUAGGGUUAUAGUUCUAAACAAUAAAAUCACCUGAAUCCCUAUCAGUAGAAGCAAGCAGCAACCAGUUGUAAUUAGCUGCAAUACACUUCACCCUUAUUCUAUGUUUCUCAUUAGGUUUUAAUUUCAACUGUCUUCUAUACUCUACAGCAUAAUCUGCAACAACUUUUCUAAACUAUUUUGCACCCUCAAAAAUUAUUCCAAGCUCAAACACAGCAAACUCACAAUUUUCAUCAUACCUAAUUUUUUUGCUGCUCCUUCUUCUAGGUAGAUCUACUCCUCUAACAGCAUCUACAUCUAUCUCUUCACUAUCUUCACUCCAACAGUCAUAACUAUGAAGAUAUUCCUCAUCUCCACCCAAAUUUUCAGCAUAUUUGGUAGCCUUAUUUUUUCCAAUAUCUCUAAAGCCUCUAUCUACACAACCAGCAACUCCCACAGGUACUUCUUCAGUUUCAACAACCUUUUUUCUUGUUUUUUGCUUUCUUUCUUUAUUGUUGGCUUUGUUAUUGACUUUGUUUUUCCUUUUUUCUUGUCUAAAAGCCCUCAACUCCUCAUCAACAUCCAAGCCAUCUUCUGAAGGAAUAUCUCCAAGAUCUGAAUCACUACUCAAGUAAUCUGAUAACUCACUUUCUAUAUUAACAUCUUCUACAUGGAUAUCUUCUACAUCAGCCUCAUCACCUCCUUCUACACAAAUAUCUUCUAGGUUAACAUCUUUUACAUGGAUAUCUUCUACAUCAGCCUCAUCACCUCCUUAUACACCAAUAUCAUCUAGGUUAACAUCUUAUACACGAGUGAUGUGCUAGAUUUUUGUAGCAUAUUUAAGACUUUUUAACUUGAAAUAAUUGUAAGUUCUUAAGUAAUUAUUGGUGUUUUGAUGUUAUUUCUUAAGAUUUUGUAGGAAAGUCAAGAUGCAUGGAAAUAAAUAACAAUGGAGCAAAAGAGCUGAAAUUUGAGAAAAAAGAGCUGAAAACAUGGAUGACGACAACUGUGAUAUGUCACCAGCCUUGUGAUAGGCUAUCAACAUUGACGUCAGCCUUAACCAGGGAGUUGCAGUCUGAGAAGCAGUUUUAACGACGUUGGUGAUGUGGCGUCAAAGUUGUGAUAAGGCAUCAAUAAGGGCGUCAGCCUUAAGCAGAGAAUUAGCAAAAAGAGAAGACAUCUGACGACGACAGUGAAACGCCGUCAGAUCCGUGAUACGGCGUCAGCAACAUUGUCAGCUUUAGACAGAACUUGAAGACAACUGGAGCUAAUCUGACGCCAUCCGUGCUAAGGCGUCAGACCCUUGACGUGGCGUCAGCUAGGGUGUCACCUAAUCCGAUAAUUUUAUUUAUUUUGUUAUUUUAUUUCCAUAAUUAAGUUUAGGUAUAAAUAGAAGUUUUGAGGGUUUUAUUCAGGAUCUCUCUCAAUCUUAUUUUUGGAACUUGGGAGGAACGUACAUUGCCUCAUCUUUUUCAUCAAGUAUUUUUCUUGUUUUCCCUUCAACACUUAUCAACUAUUGUGGAUUAUUCUCUUGUGAAGAAAUAAUUGUUGUUUUCAUCCAUUCGUAAGUUUAUCCAUACUAUCAUGAAUUUAACUUUUUUUUUCAUUUAUCAAAUUAUGAGCGGCUAAUUCCAUUAGCCCGAGUUAUGGGAUCCAUGGAUUAGGGUUUGAUAUGCUGCUAGGUACUUAAAGGGUUCAAAGAGUAGUAGGACGUCUUGAAAUUCUGUUGUUUUAACUUACAAUCUAUUGGUUGAAAACAAUAGGCUAUGCCUUAGGUUUAUUUGCUUUAACAGAGAAACAGACUAGAGGACGUGAAUUAUCAACAGGGACUCGGAAGCUACCAACCUUCUGUUUAAUGAUUAAUGUUGUAACUGGAUUAAUCUACCUGAGAUAACAUCCUAUUGGAAAUAGAUAAGUUAUCUAAGUUCGAGAGAAUUAGAUAAUAAAUUGUCUGGUGAGGUCGAGAGAUAAGUCAGAUAGUAUAGUCGUCAGGGAUAUUUUGCUGUUCCUACUUACUCCAAGAAUCUCAAGCAUUACCUAGUAUCUGUCAAUUCCCGAAACCCACAGUGAACAUAACUCUGAUUUUCCAUUUAUAUUGAUUACAAACAUUAAUACUAAAACCCCAUUUUAUAUUUUUGUAUCAUUUGUUUGAAUUUAACUUGUAGUUAUAAUUUCAAACUAGUUUAAUCGCCACUCACAUUGUUCCCUGUGAAUUCAACCCCAACUCCAAAGUUGGGUAAAUAUAUUGACGACGACUGCCUUACACUAAUUUGAGGUGUAAGUUGAGCAUUAUCAACGAGCCUCCCUCUCUUUACCUAAGUUAACAUUCUCUAACUCAACAUCUUCUAGGUUAAAAUCUUCUAGAUCAGCCUCUCUCUUCCUCUACUCCAACAGAUUCUCUCUCUAUGUUAGCACUAUCAGCAAUACCAACACUUUCUCUUUCUAGGUCCUCACCCUCAAUAACAUCAGGUGCAGGUAAAAAACCAGUGGGACCAUCAGGGUUAAGAAUUGGUUCAUCUAAAACAUGAUAGACAUAAAAAUCAAUAGAGUCCUCAUGUUUUAAGUCUUUAACUAGUUCAAGGAGAUAUCGGUCAGUUUUCACCUAAGUUGAAUUGUUUAGUUAUUGCAUCUUGAUAAUAAUAACCCCUAACAGUUUUAUACCCCAAUUCUUUAGUAUAAAAUAACAAUUUCAGUAUGAAAAAGUGGUCUUUGUCAAUGUACCUUAGUUAUGUCACACAACUUCCAACAUAUAUAGGGACACCCGUAUUGGAAAAGGCUCCCCCAUGGUGAAAUCUUGUGAAAAUUAUCUCCAUUUUUUAUGUCAGCUGCAACAAAGGAAAAAAAAUCAAAGUUAGUUAAUGGAAUAUACCCAAAGUACACACCAACAAACUAAAAUCUACAAUCUUUAAUGCAUGUUAAGAAAGUGACGAAAUAUUUCCAAAAGCACAGUCCUAACAGUAAAAUAUCAAAACCCUAAAAACUAAAUUAUGCUAAAAUUCAACAAUUUAACAAAUAUAAAUCAUAAUAACACUUACACGAGGAAGAUAUGAGCAAAACCCCUAAAUUUCUUCUUCAAUUUAAGUGGAAUUUUUGUUAAAUUAGGGUUAAAUUGGGGUUAUUCAAAGAGGGAGAGAAAUUAACGUCGGGGAGAGAGAAAGAUUUUCAUCCAAAUGAAUUUUUUGCCAUUUAAAUAUAUUAAAGUAUAUGUGGAUAUAUUUAAUACACGUGGAGAGGUUUAAGUGGAAUAGCUUUCCACAUCAGUGGCGUUUGGAGACAUGUGCAUGGAGCUGAUGAGAAGAGGAGGAAAAAAGGCCCAAUUGAAUCAAAAUUCAGGGGGUUAAGGGUCUGAUAGGUACAAGCCUUAGUUAAGUGGUUUAAGUGAAUUUUCGAAAUAAUUUUAAGGGUCUGUAGAUGACUUAAGCCAUUUUAUAAUUCCAAUCAGUAUCAUGCAGGAUUCCACCCGUAUAUCUGUGCAUCUAAUGAAGUGUUUUGCUUGCGUUGUUGGUUUCCAAGUAUGUAAUUGUUUUGAGGCCUUAUGGAUGUGUCCUGGAGGAUGUUGUGUGCUCUGAUGGAUGCCAUAUUCUGUCUACUUGGCUGUAUAAUCUGUUCAUGUUAGAACAUAAUAGUAUAAAUAGUAUAACUAUCAAAGCCUAUGCUAUGUAGAAUGAUGAACCUAUAUUUAAUGACUUGUUCGUGUCGUCAAGUAUAGGUUGUUGCGUUAUGCUUAUAUGCUUAUAUGCAUAUCAUGAUGCUACGUUAUGCUUAUAUGCUUAUAUGCAUAUCAUGAUGCUAACUUUUAACCAUAAAAUUGUUUGUUUUUAUUAUUUUUUAAGUAUUUGGCUGACAUUGGCAGCAAUAAUUGAGUCAUAACACAUUUGAUUCAGGAAAAAAUAUCUAAUUUUAUCUAGAUGGAUUAAUGGUCCUUCUUUAUAUAUCAGUGGGCCGAAAAGGACCCAAAAAUAAGAAUGGGCCUACCAGCUAAUUAUUAUUGGGCUAAACUAUCUAAAGAAAUAAAAAUACAAAGUGUUUAUGUGGGAUAUACAGCAUCAGUAAUAGCCGUAACUCCAACACCACCACCACCACCACACCACCCAUAAGUUGGAGGGGGCGCGAACACCCAAAUUGAACAAGAGUGGAUAAUGAACCAGCCCAGUAAGUGGCUUGGUAAAGAUGUCGGCAAGUUGAGAGCCUGUAUGAACAUACAAAAGAUCAAUAAGUCCAUCACUCUACUUAUUGCGAGUAAAGUGGCAAUCCACCUCAAUAUGUUUGGUUUGCUCAUGAAAGACAGGGUUACGAGCAAUGUGAAUGGUAGCCUGAUUGUCACAAAAUACCGGAAUAGGAGUGGAAAUAGAAAUACUCAAAUCAGCCAACAAAAGGACCAACCAAACUAACUCAGCAACAACCUUACUAAUGGACCGGUAUUCAGCCACCGCAGAAGAAAGGGUGACAGCAUGUUGUUUCUUAGCCUUCCAAGUAAGAAGAAAACCACUAACAGAACACAAAAUCCAGUGACAGAUCUAUGAGUGUCGGGACAGGCUGCGCAGUCAUUGUCACAGUAAGCAUUGAAAGAAAAGUCAGCUGAUUUAGGAAAAAAAUAUACCCAUAGUAGAGGUGCCUUUCAAAUAACGUAGCAAGUGAAGGGCAGCUUGCAUCUGGAGAAAUUGACUUAAAUGCUGGACAACAAAAGACAAGUCAGGCUGAGUAUGAGUGAGAAAGUUGAGCUUCCCCACCAAACUUCGAUAAGAUUCAGGAUUAGGGAGUGGAGAACCCAUGUUAGCCUUUAAUUUAACGGAUAAGUCCAGGGGGCAAGUAAUAGGGGAAACCACAUGACAACCAAAAUCAGUAAGCAAGUUAGUGAUGAACUUCUUCUGAUGCAACAACAAACCAGCAUCGGAAGAAAAUACUUCAAUCCCCAAGAAAUAAUUAAGAACAACCAAAUCCUUGAUGUGAAACUGGGAGUUCAAAAAGGCAGAAAUGCCAUCCAAAUCAUCACCAGAAACAAUAAUAUCAUCAACAUAAACAGCAAGCAACACAAUGGAGGCGUUGGACCUCUUAAUAAACAAGGAAUGAUCAUUAGGAGAAUGAGAAUAACCUCGGGAGUAAAAAGCUUGCAAAAGUUUAAUAUACCAUUGGCACGAUGCUUGGCGUAACCCAUAAAGGGAUUUCUGCAAGCGGCAAACCAAAGGGGAAGAACUAGUGGGAUAGUCAACAAUUAAGCCAGGGGGAAAUCGCAUAUAGACCUUCUCCUCUAAAUCACUAUGUAAAAAGACGUUAUUGACGUCGAGUUGAAAUAAAGGCUAACCCUUCUUGAGAGCCACAGCAACAAGACAUUUAACAGUAGAAAACUUGAUAACAGAGGAGAAUGUUUCAUUAAAAUCAACACCUUCAAUUUGAGUAUCACCCCUAACAACCAACCGAGCCUUAUAACAUUCAACCGACCCAUCAGCUUUGUACUAAGUUUUAUAAACUUAUUUACAACCAAUAGGCUUCUUGCCAACAGGUAAAGGAAUAAUAGACCAAGUGUUAUUGGCUUAAAGAGCCUCAAAUUCCUUGUUCAUGGCGUCCUGCCAAGCCGGAAUGCAGGCAGCGUGCUUGUAAGACUGUGCAAGAGAAGUGCAAGGACUAGAGCAAGUGGAAAGUAAACCGAAGCCACAUAGGGAGGAGAGAAGGUCACAAACAUAAUGCUGAGGAUGGGCAGAGGGGGCAUGAUAUCUAUUGGAUUUCCUUAGAGGUACAGAAGUAAGAGUUUCAAAGGGUAGAACUGGAGAAGAAAAAGUUGGUGCAGAUGAUGAUGGAAUAGAAACUUGUAGAGGAUCAUGGGGAGGAAAAGAAAUUAGGAAAGACAAAGGGCAUGGCUGAAGCAGCAAAAGGAAAGGAGAAUUCAUAAAAUACCACAUCUCUAGAAAUGAAAGUGAGGUAAGUUUGGGGAUUGUAUAGUUUAUACCCUUUCUUUGCUAAUGGAUACCCAAUAAAAAUACAAGGAUCAACUAUAGGUUGAAACUUAUCCCUAUUACACCUAGUUAUAGUAGACAAACAUAAACAACCAAAGAAUUUUAAGUGGGAAUAAGAAUGGAUGUGGCCAUGCAAAAGUUCAUAGGGUGUUUUAUGGUUCAAAAGUUUGGAGGGAAACCUAUUAAUGAGAUAGGUAGCAGUUAGGACACAGUCACCCCAAAAUUUUAAAGGCAACUUAGAUUGAAACAAUAAAGCUCUUGAAGUUUCAAGUAGGUGUCUUUGUUUUCUUUCCACAAUACUAUUUUUUUGGGGUGUGUGAGGACAUGAGGUUUGAUGAAUAAUUCCAUUAUCAAUGAAAAACUGAGUGGCGGAAAUACUAUAGCCUAGCUCAAGAUCAUUAUCACUUCUGACAGUUUGGAUGAAAGAGUAAAACUGAGUCCUAACCAUGGAUAUAAAGGCUUUGAAUAAAUAAAAAACAUUACUCUUGGAUCCUAAGGAGUGAGUCCAAGUAGCUCUAGUAUAGUCAUCUACUAUAGUCAAAAAACACUUGCAAUUGGAAUAAGUGGGAGUACUGUAAGGACCUCAUGUGUCUAUGUGGAUGAGUUGACAAGGGUGAGUAGUCUUAAUUGAGCUAUCAGGAAAGGAAAGUCUGGACUGUCUAGCUAAAGGGCAAACAUGACAAAGGAAAGGCUGUUUGGGAGAGAAUUUAUAGGGAAUGGAAGUAAAUAUCCUUCAUCUUGACAAAAGGCAUAUGUCCCAAUUGAUUGUGCCACAAAACUUUCAUUUUAUUUAACAAGGAUGAUGUAUUACAAUUAGAAUCAACAGAACUAUUGAAAGUACAAUCAUUAAAGGAAACAUCAGCAACAAUAUUGUCACUAGAAGUAGAAAAAUGAGGAGACACAUCAGGAAGAGUACUGGAUUACUUGACACUAAGGGAGAAGACUUGAUGGAAGAAGACUGCAUAAUCUUGUAAAGGCCAUGCUCCAAUUUACCAAUUACCACUGCCCUCUUCAGUGAAGGGGCCUGUAUAAUGUAAGAAAUUUUGAUUAAAAACACAAUGCAAUUGAGAUGAGAAAUAAGCUUUGAAAUCGACACAAGAUUAUAUUGAAAACUGGGUAUAAAGAGGACAUGAUGUAGAGUGAAAGAAAGAAAAUGGAUGGAUCCAGUACAAGUCACUUUCACCCUAUUUCCAUUACGAAGAGUGACUAGAUAAGGUGUGACUAAAGGUUGAAUAUUGAAUAAUAGAUCUUUAUUGGAGGUCAUGUGAUCAGUGGCACCAGAAUCUAAAAUUCAAAUGCUUUUAUCUACUUGACUAAUCACGCAAGUACCAGAGGAGAUAGAGUCUUCAGAAACAUAAAUAAGAGGCAUACCAUUAAAACCAAUAUAAUCCAUUAGGCUAGAGUGAUUUUCUGAAAGAUUGAACCCUUGCAGUAGACUGACAACUUGACUGCGCUGCUCCUUGGAUAAGCUGGCAAGGGAUAAAUCAUCCGGGAUGUCAGAAACUUGGUCUGAAGAAUGACCAUUCUCAGGAAUAGAAUUAUGACCAUCAGUAGAUGCAGCCAAUCUUUUUCCUUUAUAAUUUGGAUUGGGAGACCUAAAAGGCCUAGAAUCACCAGGAUAACCAAAUAAUCUAUGACAUUUCUCAAUCACAUUUCCACUUCUUUUGCAAUACUUGCAAAAUAGGUUGGACCUAUCUUGGUCAAAGUUGAUACUUAGAUUAUAAGGUUUGUUUGGAGAGGUAUUGGAAAACCUUUUAGGAGGGGCAUUGAAGGAGUUGGGGUUGUGAAAGGGAUAAACAUUUUGGGACUUAUUAAGAGGUACAGAUGUAUCAGGCCUUUUGUUUAAGGAGGCAUGAAAAGAAGUAGAUUCAUUGGGAAAUUGGAUAGGAACAACAACUUGUCUCGACCUCUCAUCCUGAAACAGGAUGUUGUAGGCAGAGUCAAGGGAUAGGAAAGGUUGUACCAUGAGAAGGUUACUCCUAACUCCAACAUAGGCGUCAUUUAAACCUAUAAGGAAUUGAUAAACUUUAUUUUCCUCCUCCUCCUAUUGAAAACCAGCCUUAGCAGCACAAGUACAAGUAUUAAUAUGGUUUGUGGAAAUAAAUGGAAGUUCAUCCCAUAAACGUUUAAGUUUGUUAAAAUAGGACGUAAUAUCCAAAAAUCCCUGACUAGUCGAGGCUAAUUCCUUCUUAAGUUCAAACAUCUUAGUUCCACUAACCAUGCCAUACCUCUUAUUCAACUGAAUCCAAAUACUCUCAGCCAUUUCAGAGUAUUGUAUGCUUUCGGCUUUGUAAUGGGAUAAAGAACUGGUCAACUAAGAUAUGACCAUGUUAUUGCACCUAUCCCAAAGUCUAGCACGAGAUGUGCCUUCAGCAGGUAGAGCAUUUGAAUCGUCUAUAAACCCUAUUUUGUUUCUAGCAGUCAAGGAAACAAUCAUAUUCCUCCGCCAACCCCCAAAGCCAGUUCCCAAAAAAGGUACACUAACCAAAGAGAUUUCAGGAACAUCAGAUGAAGAAAGAUAUAAGGGAUCAGAGUAAUCAAUAGUCGCAGAAGAAGUUGUUGAAUUUACCAUGAUAAUAGGCAACAAAAGAAAAGCACAGAUUGGAUAGUGAUAAGGGAAGGAUACCCUCCGUUUUGCAACCAAAAACGGUAACGGCCUUGGUGUAAAAAUCAAAAAACAGCUACAAAUUCAGCUAGAUAGCUACGACCUCAGUUUUUCAGCAAAAAAAAUAAACCAACUGCACUGUGAAGACAAUAUUUCUGCAAAAGAAGAAUCUGCGUAACUGAAAAAUACACAUCGGAAAUACAAUUCCGGCAAAAAGGAAAUCUCCGUCGAUCGAAACAAAAAAUGCAGCACGAAAACACAGAAGGGUACCAUCGGAGGAUGCAAAAUCAACCGAAGAUUAUGGAUCUUCUCUCUGAUACUAUAUAAAACUAGUGUGAUCAUCAGGAAUCAAACAAAUAUAGUGAACUCUACAGAGAAGGUUUGAGAGAGAAAUGAAGGAAACCUUUUGAUUCAGGAAAAAAUAUCUAAUCUUCUCUACAAGGAUCGAUCGCCCUUCUUUAUACAUCAGUGGGCCAAAAAGGACCCAAAAGUAAGAAUGGGCCUACCAGCUAAUUAUUAUUGGGCUAAACUAUCUAAAGAGAUAAAAAUACACACUGUUUAUGUGGGAUAUACAGCAUCAGUAACAGCAGUAACUCCAACAGUUUGUACGUACGCUAGUAUGUCAAUUGUAAUUUUGCUAAUUUGUUGAUUUGAUUGAAUGUCCAGAUUAGUGGAUCACUUGCUAGGAAGGCAAUAAGAGAUUUGAUGGCAAAAGGUUCGAUCAGGAUGGUAUCUGCUCAUGCUAGCCAGCAGAUUUACACUAGAGCUACCAACACGUAAUAUGCAUUAAUUCAUUUGCUUAUAGAGCUCUUGCAGGGCCUUCUUGUUUUAGACAUGUCUAAGCUUAAUUUGGAAGGUAUCAUGACAAUAUGGAUUUCGGCUAUUUUGAGCAAUGGUUUUGAUCGCAUUUACUAUGUUUUACAUGAGUUGGCUAUUUAUUCGAGUCAUAUAUAUCUACUUAUCUUAGAUGUUGAAACUGGAUGUCCUUCACUUAGAUGUCUCCAGAAUUUCAUGAGUUUCUGAGUGAUGAAAUGGUUUAGUAGAAGAAUUUUUCAUCUAAAUGACCGCUGUUGAGUUGAUUUUAUUGUUUAUUCUUGGAAAGUUCAAAGGUGAGGGGUGUAGAGCUUCGUGCCAACUAUCUCACCAAGUGGUGUGGAAAGGGUAAAUCUGUUUGGUAUCUGAUCAAUUCUACAUCUGUAGAUGCUGAUCGAUCUUCUUCAUUUUUUGACUAAAAAUGUAGUGGUAGAUGUUAGGUGGUGUAUGAAGGGAUUGCUUGGUUUAGGAAUUCACCGCAUUCUCGAAGAAAAUUACAGUUGAACACAAGGAAACGUACUUCUACAUGUGGAAGACAUGUCCCUCCCCUUCUGUCUCUUUUAUCCCCAAUUCACCUUUCCACCCAAUUUUCUUCAUUGUUUCGUAAUAAGUCCAAGUUCUGUCUCUCAAAUUAUCUUUACCAGCAGUAAAAACAAAGAUCUUGGAGCAUUUCAAUUUCGACAGUAUCUUCGGAUGAGCUGCCAGAUUGAAUCUUGGAUCAUCAAUCCCAUUAGUUUUCGGGCAUAAAUACGUCCAUAAUCCAUCAGGCUUACCAUUACCAAAAUAUGGAUCCAAUAGUGCCAUCCCAACUAGUGACAGGACAAAAUGACUUUCCUCACUUGCACGAACCAUGAUGUUGUUAGCAAUAUUAGCUCCAGCACUAUCACCAGCUAAGAAAACACGUGAAAAAUUGAUAUGUUGUUUCAGCCAGGGCUCUUAAAAAUCUUUCCCUCGUGCAUCCCAAUUCAUUACAUCCCAUGAAUCAUCGUAAUAUGCUAGAAUUGGAUGCACUGGGGCUAGUCUGUAAUUAAUUGACACGACCAAUACAUUAGCCUGAGCUGUUAGCUUGUGGAGGUAACUAUCAUACCUGGGAGAAAAUGUUGAUUCUAUGCAAAAACCUCCCCCGUGGAUGUAAAAAAAAAGAGGAAAUUUUUUAUUUUUUCGACUGAUUUUGGACAGGUAAAGUCGUGCUGAUACGUUUUUUUAGGCAAAAUUGUAACGUCUUUGGAUUGAACUUCUGUUUUGUGAUUGUUUGAUGGAGGGACAAACUUGAUCUCUUCAUACCUAUGAACAG